This 74344-nucleotide long non-coding RNA is filed under the name Ananas comosus (pineapple). Its description in RNAcentral is "long non-coding RNA (ACOM_LNC004899)". Lineage: Eukaryota; Viridiplantae; Streptophyta; Magnoliopsida; Poales; Bromeliaceae. The record is from RNAcentral.
UAAAGAUUUUAAAUUCACUCUGAAAUUGAUAAGUAUAUUAUUAGAUAUUUUUUAAAUUUUUUAGAAUAUGUCGGAUAUUAUUUUUUAAAAAAGAAAAAACACUAUUAUUAUUAUUAUUAUACAUUAUUUUGGAGUGUAAAUUUUACAACUCGUCCAUAUGUGGAGUUUUUGGAAUAAUCAUAUCCAGUUGACGAGCUAAGCUCCUACGCUUUCGAAUGUAUAGAGGCCUCCGUAUUUGUAAGUUGUUUUCAAUGAUGAGACAUCAAAUUAGACGAUCAGUUCCGUUAGAUAUGAUUUAUGCUAUUAAAGCUAUUUAGAAACCAAAUUUUAUAAUUUGUUGACUUCGUUUACCUAGUGAACGAGUACUCUCAAAAUGAACGAUUGUAAAUAAAAAUCUCACAAAAAAACAGUGAUAAAAGACUCAAAUUUUGAAUCGAAAAUAUUGAUCUUGCUCUUGAUGUGAUUAAAGUUUCAUGCAAUUUGAAUUGUUCUACACCUUGAAUUUACAAACGUAUCACAUUGGCCAUUAAAAUAUUUAUUUUUUAGAUCCUAUGAUCACUUAGUAAAUGAUAUUGAAAAAUUAUGAAAUUUGGUUUCUAAAUAAUUCUAAUAACGUAAAUUAUAUCUAAAAAAGCCGAUGGUCGAAUCGAAUGUCCUAUUAUCAAAAACAACUUACGAGUACGGAAGUCUCUAUACUUUCGAAAGUAAAGAAGACGUACUCUCGAAUUGGCUACUAAAAAAGAAAAAUGCUUGGUGGCAUAUCCAAACAAGAGGGUUUUGUUGGCUUAAAAGGACUAACAUCCUACCGUGGCAGCAAGUUGGGUCGAAUAACGUUCGAAAUGGCAAGACGUGAAAUUGGACCGAGUCAUGUUCGAACUGAUAUGAGGCUGAUUAGGUCAGAUCACAAUCGCGUAUGUGCUGUAUCUAUACGUUUUAAAUGAUUAAUUAUGUAUGUCUAACAGUUCGAGCUUUUAAGAUUGAUGGUUAGUGUCAAGAAUCUAAUUAUAAAUCUUUUGAAUUUUUAGUAUUUAAAAAACAAUUUGAUGAUAGAAAAGCUCAAUAGAGGCUCUUGAAUAAGAGAGCAAGAUUUAAACUUCAAUUUGGAGCGUCCAGCAGUGCUGAGGAGCAAAAAAAAAAAAAAAAACUCAGGAAGAUGAAUCUAAUUAGGUGUAAGAUUUACAACCCAAUUUUGAAUGUAUAAACAGCAUUGCUUUUAAAAAAACAAAAAAGUUAAACUUCAAUAUGCCCUUUUGGUUAAACAUAUGUUCACUUUGUCAUUUUGUAAUUUAAGAAGUUGCUCUUAAGUAUUAGACAGUGAGAUCAAGAUGAGUAACAGUUCAAAUAAGUUCUAUACAUUUUUACCUUGAUAUAAUCAAAAUAACUUUCAUUGUUACCAUAGUAAAAUUGUUUAAAUUAUGACUACAUAUAUAUGAUAUAUUUGCUCUGAUAGAAUUAUAAUUUAUUUGGGCAAAUAUCAAUUCCCCUCAAUUAUUGCUCAUUUGAAUUAAUUGAGAUUCUAUUAAUUUUUAUUGAACAAUAUUUAUGUUGGGUAAUAAUCAUCAAGUGGUUUAGCUUUAUUUGCUAACAAGUAACAUAAGUUAUUAAAUUUGAUAAAAUUACUAAUAAUUUGAUUGAAUUUUUACCUUCUUUUGACUCAUAUCACUCAAUUUUAAGGAAAAAAAUGUAAAAAAAAAAGUUGAGAGGGCCAUUUUAAGUUCUUCUUAGCUUUGGAAAAGAAAUUAUGUUUAGAUAUAUAAUUUAAAACUAAAUAUUCUAAGAACUGAUUAGAUCUUGAAUAUAAUAUUUUAAUUAUUAUCGUAUUAUUAAUUAUAAUAUUUUUACAUCAUUUUUAUAACAAACAGUCCAUCAAUAUUUAACCACAACAUUUUAGACUACUAUUAAUGGACUAGACUGCUACAAUUAUAAAACUUAUGUAAGUUAAAGAAUUAUUUUAUUUUUAUUUAUUAAAAAAAUCAAAUUUAGGGGACAUUUCAAUAUAGCUUAGCUAGGGGGUGUCCACACAUAUGUUACCUAAUUUAUGCAUGGGACCAUGUUAGAUGCCUCCAUGUGUCUCUUCACAUGGCCUUGGUGACCAUGCAAAGGGAUUGUCACUGUCUCACUAUGAAUAGUUUUAUGGCUCUUUUUUCUUUUUCCUUUUUCUAAAAAAAAUAUAAACAAGGGUACCACAACACUACACCUACUUUGGCCUUUGUAGGUCUUGUGAAGUUAAGUUUCCAUAGUUGGAUAAUGGUUGGGUAGACACUUGGCACAUUGGGUAGGUGGGUUGGGCCACACAAGAUCUAGGGUUGGAUUUUACUGCAGUAAAAAAAUUAUAUAUAUAUAUAGUGUAGAGCUACUAUGCUAUCAGAAGCAUAAAGUAGUUGGUUCUUUCGAUUUUUUAGCCCUUGGAUUAAAAAUUAUACGGUUGAGAUGAUAGCGGUCCCCUUAGGGUUGAGUGGUCCCCCUAGGGUUGAGUGAUCCCUAUUGGUUAAUAAUAUUAAUCCAAUGGUUAUAAAUGAUCAAUGGGGUUGAUCUAAAGGCUAAAAAAUCUAAAGCACCAACCACUUUAUACUUCCGAUAGCAUAAUAGCGCUCUCUCGCUCUCUCUCUCUCUCUCUCUCUCUCUCUCUCUCUCUCUCUCUCUCUCUCUCUCUCUCUCUCUCUCUCUCUCUCUCUCUCUCUAUAUAUAUAUAUUAUAGAACUAAAUUGGAAUACUAUCAAUAACACCAAGUUAUUCGUGCUAUUAGAUUUUCGGCCCUUAAAUAAAAAAAUGUAUGGUAAGGAUGAGUUGGGCCCCUUAAGGUUGAGUAAGUUAUUGGUUGAAUGGUAUAAUCUAACGGGUGAAAAUAAUCAAAAUGUUAAAUCUAACAGUAAAAAAACUGGAUAGCACCAAAUGCUUGGUGAUAUCGAUAGUAUCCCAGUUGGACUCUCUAUAUAUAAUUUUAUGCAUAACUUAUUUUAAAAUAUCAAACCACUGAUAAUCUAGUAUGUAGCUAUGAAAACAUUGAUAAGGAAAUUGAAGAUUUGAACUUACAGUGUGAGUUUAAAUUUGAGACUCUUUGAUUUUGAUCUGGUUUAUAGGUAGAAAAAGUAAAGAGCAUUUCAAGUUGAAUACUUUGAAAUUUAAAAUUUUAAUUUUAUUUUCUAAUUUUAUAGCAUACUUAAUUUAAAUAUAUUUUAACAAAUUUUAUUUAUAGAUUUUAACUUUUCUGAUGAAAUACUUUACAUCCUAAAAAAAUACUUUGCUAUUUGAUGAUAUUCUCUAUUUUCUUUUUUAGCGUUUAGCGUUUGGCACAUUUAAAUGGUCUAGAUCAUGUUCAACGGUGCCGAUCGUCGAUUUGGAAGCUCUAUCAUCAAAAAUAAAUCAGUAAUAAAUCGAGCAGUUUACUACCGAUAGUAGCCCAGUCAAACUCAUAUAGAGUUUUGCUAGAAUAUUAUCGGUAGUAAACGGCUCGAUUUACUACCGAUUUGUUUUCGAUGAUAGAACUUUCAAAUUGAUGAUCGGCACCGUUAAACAUGAUCUAAACUAUUUAAACUAUCUGGAAAUUAAAUUUCACACAUUUUCGAUAUUGUUCUCUUGUCCAUCAAGUGAACAAACAAAAUGAAUUGCUGAAAAUGAAUUUCCUUCAAAAAGUGAUGAUACAAUUUUUAUAUUUGAAAUCUAGAGUCUAGAUCUUAUUUUAAAUAGUUUAAAGAAUUUUUUAAUAAAAAUUUAGUUGAUUUGAGCUCUUCUAUACCGUUAAACGAGCAAACGCACCAUAUCGGCCAUUAAAAUUAUAGAUUUUGUGACCCUUUGAUCGUUUAGUUAGUGAUACCAAAAAAUCAUGAAAUUUGAUUUCUAGAUAAUUUAAAUGGUAUAGAUCAUGUUCAACGAUGCCGAUCGUCGAUUUGAAAGCUCUAUCAUCAAAAACAAAUCGGUAGUAAACCGAGCAGUUUACUACCGAUAGUAGCCCAGUCAAACUCAUUUAGAGUUUUGCUAGAAUACUAUUGGCAGUAAACUGCUCGGUUUACUACCGAUUUGUUUUCGAUGAUAGAGCUUCCAAAUUGAUGAUCGGCACCGUUAAAUAUGAUCUAAACUAUUUAAACUAUCUGGAAAUCAAAUUUCACACAUUUUCGAUAUUGUUCUCUUGUCCAUCAAGUGAACAAAAAAAUGAAUGGCUGGAAAUGAAUAUCCUUCAAAAAGUGAUGAUACAAUUUUUUUUGUUUGGCACCAUUUCAACAUAAAAUUACUUUAUUGUCGUUGAGCAGGAUAUGCUUACAACAUAUGAUUUCCAUAAAUCAGAUUAUUGGGCCUUUUGGCCCUGUUAACAAGAGGCUGAAGGUCCCAAUAGGGUGGGUCGGGUCGGGUCGGGUCGGGUCGGUUUUGGAUCGGAUCACUUUGGAUUUCUAGUUAUUUUGAAUAUCAUUUCGGUUUCCAACCAGUCAAGUACAUGUCAUCUUGGGCUUCGGAUUCCGAUUGGUUUCGGGUUUUCUCAGUUUCUGAUUUUUGAUCAUUUUGGUUUUCGAUAAGAUUCAGAUCAUUUGAUGUAUAUUCAAUAAUGUUCGCGCAUUUAAGCUGCACAUCUAUAGUACUAUUUCUCUCGAACAUUUUGCAUUCAGGUUCAUUUAUAAGUACUCUGAAAUUUUGUUCAAGCGUCUCCGAAUGUUGCAAUUUAGUUCUGUAUUUUUCAAAAUUCUCGAUUGUUCUCUUAGGUUUCGGGCCUUUUCGGGUUUGACAUUCUAGGUUUUGUUCGCAUUUCGGGUUCGUUCGAGUUUUAGUUUGUUCGGGCUUCGCAUUGCUUGGAUUUUGGUAAGUUCAACAUUUGGGUUAGCUUUUGUUACCUUUGAUUCAAAAUUAUGAUUCCGCGCGUCUAUGAAUCCAAAAAAAAGAAAUAACCCAACAAAAUCAUAUUAUUACUCAUACCAAUGACUCAUUACAUGUGGUAAGAUCGAAACCGGCGAUACAUAGUUAGGAAAAAUAUUACAUAAUCUGAGAUGAAGAUGAAAUUGACAACACCAGCAACUUGUUCCUGAAUUUAGUAAUUUAUAACUCAGGAAAAGUUCUUUUUUCAUAAAUGUAUAAAUCUAUCACCUGCUAAAAUGGGUGUUUCAUAAAUAGAUUGGCGGGCAACUUUAGCCAAAAAAAGCGAAAGCACGCCUCAGCCAUCCUAAAUUCUGGAAACUUAGCCCAACUUUCACGCUAGUAUUAUUAUAAAAUAACUUUACUAUGCUUGGAUUAGAUUCAUUGAAUCUAGUCGAAUGAAUCUAUCUGUAAAUAAUAAAUUUGACUCCAUUAAUAGCACUAUUCUAACUCUGGAGAGUCUUGUUUUCUUUACUAGGAGAACUGCAAAGAGCUUGUAAAGGUUUGCCCAAAGCUCCAAUCCGACGGGGCUAUGUCCGGGAACUCUAGGGUUUGGCCGUCGUCAGUGGUCACACUGAAGGAGAUGGAUUGACCGUUCAGGUACGCAUUGGAUUGCCAGUUGACUCCCCAGUUUCGCGACAUCGUCAUCCAUCCAGUGUUCGAGCCCUUGAUGGACACCGAUUGGAUCGCUCCACUUCCGCCGACGUUCGAUAUGAGCACGAGCUCAAAGUAGUUUAGCCCAUUGAUUGUGAAUCUCACUCCCCCUUGCUUCGCACAUGGAACCCUGCGUGUUUGUCAAGUCCCGAUUAGAUCUUUCUUAACAAUAUUAAUAAAUAAGCCACCUAAAAGGGUAACUAACAUUUCGUUUGGUCUUACUGACCGUCGCUGGUGCAAGUGAUAAACAGCUUGAUGGUUAGUAUCUGAGAUCUCAAAUUUGAAUCAUAAUUGAUUCACAUUUUCAGCUAAGUUUAUUUCUGAAAGAAAUAAGCAAAGUGGGUAGCAUACUAUCUAUUUUUUUAAAAAAAAAAACAUUUCAUUUGGUCUUUUAUAAAAAUUUGUUGAAUAUUUUCUGAUGUGGGAUUACAAGGACACAAAUAGGUAAUCGAUCAAUAGAAUUUCGAUUUAGUACCCGCAAUCGGCUUAAAAAUGUAACGAUAACCUCAGCUUACUUAAUUAGAAAAUAAUCACACAAUUAAUCUAGUGUAGUACAACUAGUUUAUGCUCCUCAAUGCAUCUUGUUACCCAAAAAAUAGCUUAUAAAAAAACUACUAGAAGUGUAAAUUGAGAGUGAGGAAAAUAAGAACUUCACCUUUGAUACAACACAGGUACGAUACCCCCGCGGUAGAUGCCGAUCUUUUCCCAUGCAGGCUGAGCCAUGUCAAAGUGCUGGCGAGGCGGGUUGCACCAACCGCCGUCGUCAUUUGGGAGGGCGUAGUUCGGCGGGCAAAAGUUCGUUGCGGUGAUCAUCACCGACGCCCCCUUUAAGCACCACUGGGAGUCUGAUUGGUAGUCGCACGUGAUCAUGUAGCACUGCCCGCACGACGCCCCGUCAUUAAACAGAGCCGUGCUUAGAGCCGCAGUGUCGGUCCCGUACCCGGUCGAGUACAAGUUACCGUAGCCACAAGCUCCACCUACAAAAUAUAUAUGAAAACGAUCCGCUGAAACUCAGCUCCUUACUCAAAACACUCAUAACCACAACAUUAAGAUCGAUCAGCGGGUCUACCCAUAGUUCCGGAGGCGUCGCUCCCGCCAUAGAACGUUGCGGUAGCUCUGUUCCAACCCGAAGACGCGAAACCAUCGACUCUGGUACCACUUAAGCACAUUAAACACAUGACAAAUGCUACAAAAAAUGUGCUAAUCCCCAUCUCAAUGUAGAGAGACAAAGAGAGAGAGAGAGAGAAAGAUGAAUGUAGAAGCUAAUUAUUAGAGGUGAGGAGUGGUGAGAAUUUAUAGGGUAUAAGUAGGAGGAGAGAGAAGAGAUAAGACCCACGAGAUACAUGGGAUCAAAGAUCAAAUCACAUGAUGAUGAUUAAUUAAUGAUUGUACAUGCAAACAAUUAAGCAUCCCAUAAAUUGCGGGCCUGUGACGCUUACACACGUAUUUUAUUUUAUUUUAUUUUUUAACUGGGUAAAUCGCAUGGCUAGUCCCUGAACUUUUAGUCGAGUUUAUUUUGGUCCUCAAACUUUUAAAUCCGGCAUUUGAAACUUCAAAAUCUCAAACUUGUUUUACUUUAUACCUAAUCUUAGGGGUUCUUUGGUUCUGAGUGGGAAAGUAUUUUUUGUCCAUUUUGUUUCGAAAAAAAAUUUCAGCGAAAAAUGAAAAAUACGAAAAGAAUACUUUUUGGAAAACUUUUUAUUUUUCAGAAAGUAGUUUUUGGCGAUACUUGGAGAAAGCAAACACCCACUUAGUCGAAAAAGAAUUAUAAACUAUAAUUAUUUUAUCUGUGUAUCUGUACUUCGUAAAUUCGUCAGAAAAAUAUAGAAAAUGCUACAACUUAAGGGGCGUAAGUAAUCAUUUUUAUUCCGACAUUAAACCCGAAUAAGAAUUAAAGUAAAACACUUCCGAGUUUAGUAACUCAAAUAUUGAACUUAAAAUGUUCGAGGACUUAAAAAAAAAUUUGCAAAGUUCUAGGAUUUGCGGUGUAAUUUAGCCUAAAUAUUUUAAUCUCUUCUUCUGAGAUUCUCUUCAUGUUCUCUUGUCGUGGAGAGACUUAAUUUAGUCCUUAUUCUUUUUGCACUCAACAACUUCAAAAAGCAUUAUUAAUUUUAUAGUAAAAUCUUACAAAAUUUAUUUAAAUUAUAAACCAUUUUAAAUCAACUAUCUAAAUUUUUAAAAUUUUAAUUUUACUAUCCAAUCUUUUGUUAGAUACUUAUUAUUGACUAAAUUAUGCCUAACUUUUUGUUAUGUGGCAAUAAACUGAUGAGACCAAUAACUUAAGUUAGGUUGUGCCCAGUAAGUUGAGUGGGGCAAUGGUUCACAACAGAUCUAGCAAAAGAGACCUAAUAAUUAGUGCUAUAUAUGGGUGCGCUUUUUCUAUCAACACAUAUACUGUUAAGAUAGUUGGUUAGCACUUACGAUCCACAGCUUUCAAUUUGUUUAAUUUGAGUCGGUAAACAAGUUUGAUUUAAAAUUUAAGCUAAUUACUUACUAUAAUAAGUUUACAGUUGUAUGAAUUGCAUUUAAAUUUUAAAGUUAAAAUACGAUUGAUUAAGUCAAAUCAAAUAAAUUGAAAGGUGGAAGCGUAAAUUUAUCUCAAAUUUGAGGAUUAUAUAUAAAUGGAAAAAAAAAAGAGAAAAAUGGGGGAUUUGUUGACAAAAUGUGUCACAUGGUGAUGUUGAGAUCACACUUGUUUAGAGCACAUGGGCUAGGGUUGAUAUGGGCGUGAUUAAAGGUAUAAUUUUGGGGGAGGAGUUUUGCUCCAAUCAUCGUGCCGAGAACGAGGCAUGAAUUGCUCUUUUUGCCCAAGUUUUGAUAGGGAUUUGUUAUUUUAUUUGACCCUGAAAAUAUGCAGUUAAUUAAUUAAUUAAUUAAUUAAUGAACUUUGGAUAUGUCACGCUGCAAUUAGGCGGUCGUUUGGUACCACAUAAAUAUAAAUACAGUAUAGUUAAAAAUACAUUCAAGUGAAAAUACACCAUUAAUAAUUUUAUAUUUUUAGUUGAUUGGUUACGGUAGAAAGUGUUGCAUAGUUGCAUGCAGUUGAAAAGCAUAUUAUAAAUUUUUAUUAUUUUUUAUAUUGGGUGGUUAGAUUACCUCUUAUGUAGGAAAGGGGGAAAAAAAAACUUUUUAAACAAUUAUUAUAGAGGUAAGCUUAUUUUUAUUUAAAAUUAUGCUUUUCAAGUGCUAUAGUUAGAGCUAUGGACAAAUUAGGCGUAGUUCCAACUCCUACAGUUGAGACUCCUCGUGCAGUUGCAACUGCAAUUGUUGAAUUAAAAUGUAUCAAAAUAUAUGACGGAUUUGGAUUUGCAUGCAGUUACAACAGCAAUGUAGUUGCAAUUGCGUGCAGCCAAAUAGCCCCUUAGACUCGCGGAGAGAUUGCAUUACUUACAGUGAGAAUACGAUGGAAAAAUACUCUGAUCGUUUUCAUACUUAUUAUAAUAUAACUUGAGUAUGAUAUAUUUUUUGGGCUAAAUUGCAAUUUUGGUCCUUAAACUAUGAGGCGGGUCACAUUUUUUUUUUCUCAAUCUUUAUUUAUUGUAAUUUCUAAUUUGAACUUUGUAAAUUAUUACAAUCGAGUCUCAUAAGCUAAUUCAGUUGAUUAAAAAAAUUAAUUAUCGCUGAUAUGAAAUAAAUGUAAUAUCUUAAUUAUUAUCGUAUUAUCAAUCACAACACUGCCACAUCACAUUCAUAUUAACAACACAUCAAUAUAUACUCAAUCAAAUUGAGUUGUGAGAUUUGAUUGCGAUAAUUUAAAAAUCGAACUAAAAAUUAUAAUAAAUUAAAUAUUAUGGUCCAAAAUGUUAAACACUUUAUGGUUUGAGAGCCAAACGUGCUAUUUAGCCUAUUUUCGAUGGGCCUUCAAAAAAGACAUAAACGUAUUCUCAUAUGCUUUUAUCUUAACACUAUUUUACCUAACAAUGUUAAAUGAUCCUCAAUUCUAAACGAACACUUUGUUAUAAAAUGAAGUGAGCACCAAUUUCGGAACUCAGUCGUAAAGGUUUUAAGAUGAAAUUUUAGUAAAAAUUUUAAACCUAUCAAAGUUUAAAAAAAAUUUUCAAUUUACUAGCUAUUUCACUAUGGAAAUUUAGGUAUGUUAUUUAGUUUAGUGAACUUGAUUCUAGUAUUUCACAAGUUCAUGUGACUAUGUGGUAAUUAAGGCAAGUUAGAUGCCCAAAUUUCUAAUAAAGUAGUCAUCAAAUGAUAUAAAUCAAAUAAAUUAAAAGAAAGAAUAUUAAAAAUUAAAACCUUUGAAGAUUGAGUAGGGGGCCUAAAAUGAACCAUAGUUCACGUAAUCCACAGUGCCUCAAGUCAACAUCUUAAAAACAAUUUUAUUAACCUUUUUAUACAAUAUAUUUAUUUGAGGUUGACAAUUAAUAUGCUAGGGUUGGGGAGUUUGUCUCUUUUGAGAAGUUAUAUAUAUAUAUAUAUAUAUAUAUACAUAUAUAUAACUGGAGUAGGGCUACUAUACUCUUAUGAGUAGUGGACCCUUACUACUCAUAAGUUGUUUUCGAUGAUGGAGCUUCCGAAUCGACGAUCCACUCCGUUAAAUAUGAUCUAGAGCAUUUAAAACUUCUAGAAAUUAAAUUUCAUAAUUUUUCAACAUCAUUUACCUUAUGAUCAAAAGCUUACAAAAUUGACAAUUUUUAACGGCCGGUAUGGGAUACUUGCUAGUUUAACGGUGGAAAAGAAUCGGAAUAUGUUGAAUUUUUGAUAGAAAAUUCUAUUCACUACCUAGAUAAAGAUCAAUAACUCCGAUCGUUAAUUGAGGGAUCCGAUCAUCCAUUUUUAGGACGUCGUUCGAUUUUGACCGUUCAUUUUAUGCCCGCUUGAUGGACUUUAUUAUGAUUUCAAAAAAUUACGAAAUUUAUUUUCUAGAAAUUUCAAAUACUCUAGAUCAUAUUUAACGGAGUGGAUCGUCGAUUCGGAAGCUCUAUCAUCGAAAACAACUUAUGAGUAGUAAGGGUCCACUACUCAUAAGAGUAUAGUAGCCCUACUCUAUAUAACUGAUCUUACUUUGUCUAAAAAAAUAAUAAUAAUAACCAGGUUGAGUUCUGAGUGCUUGAAUUUGACAUCCAUGCAUCUGCUUGUUUUGUGUUUUAAAUGCCAAGUUCCUCAAAUUUUGUUAAUGUACAUCAUGUACACAACAAGCAAACAUAUUGCAACGAUCCGACCCGCUAGCAACAAUAACUCGUUGGACCAAAACUCGUUGGGCCCAAACCAUCGGCCCAAAAUGCUUAAGCCGGGUUAUUAUUACUAGCAUGUAGGUCUCAUAUAAACUGAUCGAAAUCAGUAUCACAUCCGAUGUGAGACUAUUGGGGGCGUUACAAACUCCUCCUGUUUAGACGAACCAGAUCACAGACAGACAGAGCAGAACCAUUACCAGGCGAUGUGAGAUUCUAGAAGUGGCUCUUACGGGUUCAAGAGAUGGCUCCCACCAAAUCCGUUGGUGUAGUACUUUGUCCCGCAUAGCACUUAAUUCUCACACUUCCGGCUGGUGUUUGUCUCUGAUACCAAUUGCAACGACCCAACCAGCUAGCAACAAUAACUCGUUGGACCAAAACUCGUUGGGCCCAAACCAUCGGCCCAAAAUGCUUGAGCCGGAUUAUUAUUACUAGCGUGUAGGUCUCAUAUAAACUGAUCGGAAUCAGUAUCCCAUCCGAUAUGGAACUAUUGGGGGCGUUACACAUAUUUUAUUUCUGUUAUUAGACUCACAUUUUCUUUUCUUUUCUUUUCUUUUCUCUUCUUUUGUUUUUCUUUUUGAGAGAGAAAGAUAAGAAGCUAUUCAUUUCGUUCAUUUUUAGAAAUAAACCAAGCUUGAAAUGAGAAGCAACUAAGUUUCAAACUUAAGAUCUCAAAUACUAACCAUCAAACUCUUAGCCAGCUGUGUCGGAUACGAUCAGUCACUCUUUCUUAUUUUAUUACAAGAAAAGAUAGAAAAGAACAUCCAUUUCCCUUUAAGAAAAGAAAAAAAUAGGCAAUUGAUAAUUGAUCUUCAAAUAUCGACUAGUUCGAGAGUCUAACACCUUGGCUAUUUUCUUUUUCUUUCGCAAUAGAAGGUCCAAUAUUUAUGCACGUAGCAUAUUUAUGCUUAGUACAUGAUUCGAAUUGAAGACUCGUUGUAGCUACAAGACAACAUCUGUUUUACGUUUUAACAUAAUAUCAUAAUAGAAAAUCUAAGUUCGAGCCCCACCAGAUUUCUAGCUUUAUUUAACUAUUCCACAUUUUUAGCCUAUUAAAAUAUCUAGAGUCCACACUUAACUAUACCUUCAAAUCUUGCGCUUAUUGUGUAUUAGUCUAAGUUGGGACAUCCACUUUUAACUAGGAGUUAAAGAGAUAUUUAUUAAUUAAAUUGCAUUCUUUAAAUUUUACUUAACAAGCUAAUUAUACUUUAAACAAGUCCCCAACAUCAAAUGCACUAAAGAUUCAUCUACAUGAAAUCUCAAAGACUCAACCUUUUGCCUUAAGACUUAUGUAUAGCAUGUCAAGCUUACGGGCACGACGAAAAUCAGACGAAGUAUUCUGCUGCUGACAAAAGUAAUAAAUAAAAAGACCAACAAAUAUCAAUAAUGGGAGUUUUUUUUUUUUUUUUUUUUUUUUGAGAGAUAGGUAGCACGCUACCCGCUUCGUUUAUUUCAAUUAGAAAUAAACUUAGCUAGAAAUGUGAAUCAACUAGGAUUCGAACUUGGGUCUCGGCUACCAACCACCAAGCCCUUUGCCACUUGCUCUAGGGACGGUCAGUAUCAAUAAUGGGAGUUGAAAUCCAUAAUGUUGAAAUCCAUAAUGUUGUAGAACAAAAGAAGCUGAAUAUAUAACCGAUCAAUCUAGCGUAACAGGGAUAAGAUAGAUUAUAGUGAAAUAAAAUUAAAAAUCAUAUGAAAAUGUUGGAACCAGUUCAAGUAAUAUCUUUCACUGAGAUGGAUCAAAAACCUAGUAAUUCCCCAAGAAGAUACUUGAAUUAGCUAGUAAUGCAACCAUUAAGCUAAUUAGUGCUCGUCGCACCGAAUAAGCGAUACCGCGGUCAACCUAAUCAUUUUUGAGAUCAUAACUAAGGGAACUCAAAGAGUCUUGGUAAAAUGCUUAAAUAAUUUUAUGGAUUGAGUAGAGCUUAAUGAACACAUGGUCUAGCUUAAAGGGAAAGUCAAAUACAUUAAUAAUAGCACUAAAUCAAGCACACAUAGUAAUUGCAUUAGCAUAUGAUCAAGUGGUGGCUAUAUGCAUGGUUGAUCAUGUGAGUGACCUUACAUAUAUAGCUAGUUUUAACAAAGAAUAUAGGAGGCUAGUAGUUUUACCAAAUCUAAGAAUGAAAAAGAAAAAAAAAAAAAAAAAAAAAGUGCAAGGAAAAGUGCUUCUAGAUGGAGAUGGACAAUUUUGUCAAUGGUGACCAUGAGAUGCUCUUAAUUAGACUUUGAAUGCAUGGUUGCAAUUAAGGAAAGACUUAGCCAUAAAAUAAAGUUAAAGGAAAGACUUGGCCAUAUAAUAGGUUAAUUUUUAGGCUAAAUUACAGAAAACUCCCUGUCAAAAUCCGAUUUUUCACUUUCCCCUUCUGCCAUUUAAAAACCUACACUUUGCCCCCUUGUAAAAUGAAAAAUAUGCACUUCACUCCAUACCGUUAGUGAUCCGUUAGGGUUCCGUUAUAAAAUAUUUUUUUAUGCCAACCGCCCUCUUCCAUGUUGCUUCGCCUUCCUCCACCUUGCCGAUCGAGGCGGCGGCAGUUGAGGAAGAUGAGGGAGGAGACGAAAAUGGUGAGGAACAAAAUGGUCAUUUUAUUAUCACAGUACACACCGUACCUCUCCUGUGAAUAUUGUUCAUUUUACAAGGAGGCAAAGUGUGGGUUUUGAUAGUGGAAAAAAUAAAAAAUCGAGUUUUGACAGGAGAGUUUUAUGUAAUUUAACCUAAUUUUUAUCUUAUUUUUUGCCUUCACUUACUAGUCUAUUCCGGAUGGGUCUGAAUGGGAGUUAAUUAUUGAUGAAAUUUUAGCAUAGUAGAAUAGAUCAAAAGACGGAAGGAGUUCUCCACCUUCCGCUACUUUUUCUUAGUGGAUUGGAAGAGAUUCAGAGUAAAAUAUUUUUUUUAUGUUAUUUUUGGCCCCUACUUACCAUCAUUUUGGAGUCGAUCUAGAAAGGAGCUCCAGUAAGAUCCAUUUGCUUUGGAUUAGUGAAACGUAAAUGCAGAUAAACUCAAGAGCAGUGAAGUACAAAAUUUUGAAAGGAAGAUUCCACCACUUUGGUUGUUUGUUUUGUUGAAACUUAACUAUAUUGUAAGUAAUUUUUUGACAUUUUUAGUAACUUAGUGUUUGUUUAUUGUAAAUUACCUAAUUUUAAACUUUUUUUUAGAGAGAAAGAUAAUAUGAUACCUGCUUUAUUUUAAAAAAAAAAAUAGCUGAAAAUAUGAAUCAAUUAAGUUUCAAAUAAAGUCUCAUAUAUUCAUAUCCAUUGACAUCCCUAAUACAAAGGGGUAUUUUUGUAAUUUAACCCACAUUUUAUCCAUAGUAUAAAAAACGUAUAGAACUUAUCUGAAUUAUUGACUUUGAAUCGGUUAUCCAACCUUCAAAUUUUUUAUUUUACUAUUUAACUUUAUAAUUUAUUUGAUUUGAGUCGGUCAAUAAUACCUUGACUUCAAAAUUCGACCAAGUAUUCAAAUUUUAUCGUCAAAGUGCUGCUGACGGGUUCAAAUUAAAUAAAUUAAAAAGUUAAAUAAUAAAAUCAAAUUUUUGAACAAUUUGAUAGCCGACUUCAAAUGAUCGCAGUUCAGGUAAUUUUAUACAUUAUUGUCUCAAAAAAAUAAAAAAAAUAAUAUUUAACAUAUUCUUCAAAAUUUUAUAAAUAUCUUAUCUACUCUCUACGACUAAAGUAUUCUUAUUAAUUUAAAAAAUUCCUUGAAAUAUCCCUAUUUUUCCUAAAUUUUGCCGACCGGAUUAAAUUUUAGAAGGGUAUUUUAUUCUGUAUGACUAAAUAUCUUAUCCAUACUUCAAAAAAUAUCUUAUUUGUUCCGUAUGAUUAAAGUAUUCUUAUUAAUUUAAAAAAAAUUCCUUCAAAUAUCUCUAUUUCUCCUAAAAUGUACUAAAAUAAGAUUGGAUUUUAGGAGGGUAUUUUAGUAAUUUCACCUUUUUGAACUCACACACAAAUAAAUACACCACCACCAGUGGAUGAUGUGGAUCGGACCGUUAGAGCGAGCGCUCUCUUUUUAAAGUUUAAAAACUUCUCCCCCUCCUCCUUAACUCAAGCUCAAGCUCCUCCCUUGUAGCCGUUGCAAUCACCUCUCUCUCUCUCUCUCUCUCUCUCUCUCUCUCCAUGGAUUCAGCAUCCCUCAUAACCCCUUCCUCCGAAGAGCGCUUCUGGAGCAAGCUCCGCAACCGCGUCGAAGCCAUUCUCGACGAUCGGAGGCCCGCAAACCGCCCCGCCGAUCCCGCCGCGCAUUUGGUAUCGCCGAUCCCGUCGCGCCUCUUCCAAUUUUGAUCCUUUUCUUCUCCUCCUUGUUUUUUUUUUUUUCGAUUUCGUUUUUAAUCGGAGGAGGUGCUGUUUUUCGACAGUGCGGAGCGGAAUCCGAGCGCGGGAAGCGGUCGCGGGAGGAUUCGCUUCUCCUGAUCAGGGGGCUGGAUUCGGUCGCUUCGUCGCUGUCUCAGCUCUCGGAUACGCUGAGCGCGGCGCAACAGGUGAAAAUUGAAUCUGUUUUUUGUUGCUGGCAUAGUGUUUGUGGAAAUGCCUCUGCUCUUUUUGGAUGUUAAUGGAUGAAAUUGUUGAUGCCCUUAAUUUGAUUGGAUUGAUUGGUGUGUUGAAUUUGUGGUGAAUUUGCUUUUAUAAGAGGAAAAAUUAGUCCUUUUAAUUUAUCCAAAUAUAGGGAAAGAUGAAUGGAGAUUUGAAGACCCCCUCAAUUUUUCUUUUAUUUUUAAAAAAAAUUGACUAUUCAAUUAAAUUUUAGUUGGCUUUAUUUGUUUUUAUUUUCCUUAAUCGAGUUGGGGGUUCGUAAAAUCGGUUGUCUAAAAAGCCACUGAGAAUGAUUAAGGCUUCGUUUGUGUAAUGACUGCGACCUGCUAGUAAUAAUAACUUGUUCAGUCCAAACCACCGCCCAAAAUGGUUAAACCUAGUUAUUACUAAUAGAGUGUGAAACCUCAUAUAUUUCAAAUCAAAACCCUUUUUUCAUAGAUUCUCCAUCCCAUCAUAAUCCUUUUUUCAUAGACUCCCCACCGUCCCUCCUAUUUAGAUCCUGAUGUUCUCGUCAGGUCCAAACCAGAUCACAAACAUAUAGACUCCCAGAGGUGGCUCCUACCAAAUCUAUAGUAUAGCACUUUGUCCUGUAUAGGACUUAGCUCUCACACUUCCCGCUGAUAUUCAGCUCUGAUCUCAAAUAUAACAACCCGACUCGCUAGUAAUAAUAAUUCGUUCAGUCCAAACUACCGGUGCAAAAUGUUUAAGUCAAGUUAUUAUUAUUAGGGUGCGAGGCCUCAUAUAUUCCAAAUAAGAAUUUCUUUCUCAUCCAAUGUGAGACUAUUGGGGCAUUACAGUUUAGGAUUGCAAGUAGUAUGCAUUACGUAUGGUAGAAAAAUAUUCCAUUUGUUUCCAUAAAGAAUAGUAUGUCGCGUUGAUUGCACUCAUUCAGCUGAGAUAUCUUUGUUGAAUAUAAAAAUAUAAAAACAACUUUACUUAGUAACUUAAGUUUUUGGAGUACAACAGUUGUUUCAUAUAAUUUAAUAUGGUAUCAGAACAGGAGAUCUUAUGAUCAAGGCUGUAUUCACUUAUGUGAAUUUUUUUCUAAAAUAGAAAAAGAAACGAAAUCAAUCGAAAAAAGCAUCGGUCAUAUCUCACCAGGAAUUUCUUCAGAAAGCUCGAGUUGGUCUUUUGAUGGGCCAGUAGAUCUGCAAAAACUUGCCCCUUUAUCGCUUUGGGAGUGACACAUUCUAUGUCAAGUUCCACCAGGUUUCUAGUGUUAUUUAAUUGCCUCCCAUUUAAUUUAGUCCAUGUCUUAGACCUAUUAUAAAGUCUCAAGUCCAGACGUAAAAGAAAGAGUUAAAUAUAAAAAUAUAAAAAUACUGUUCUCUGGUAGCUUUAGCAUUUGAAACACAACGGUUAUUUUAUAUAAUUAAACCAUCUUUACGUACUUUCUCCAUAACAUUUUUUGGCCUAAUAGCCCUGAAUUCAACAAAAUCACCAUUAUGCGUAACAAAGUCUCAUAUGUAAUUGACGAAAAUAACUGCAAUUGAAAGCAUGGAAAUUUAAGGGAUUGUCUAUUACAAGAAAAUUAGAUCAGAUUAUUUAAAAAUGCCAUAUAGUUGAGCACUGGCACUGCCAAUUUAUAUGAUUUAAUUGCUUUGGAUAAUCAAAAAUUUGGUUAUGAUAUCUUUAUUUGCUUAAUUUUGAAACUGCUGCUGUAACUUCAUUUACUUCAGUUUUAGCAUUAAAUUUAGCCGCAUUUGCUUUACUUUUUCUAUAUUCCUAACAAUAACAGGAAGUGAAUGCUCUAGCUAAAGCCUCUGUAGCAGCAAAAGAAUUGCAAGGAGAGAGCCAAAGAACAGAUGAGGAGGAGGGGCCAAAAGCAAAGAGGCAUUGUGGCUCCGCCGAGAUCCCCGAAAAACACGAUUCAGCUUACACCGAUAAGAACAAAGUUAUUGCUCACACCGAUAAGAACGAAGCUAUCGAUUCCGACAAGCAUAAUGAAAACAAAGAAGAGGCAGCUUCUGAUGAGUGUCAAGAUAAAAAUGAUAAGCACACUUCUUCAGAUGUUCUGCGAAGUGCUAAACUGAAGCAGGCAAAAAAUGUAUGAAUACACAACUACUGCAUCUGUUUUUUUCUUUUUGCAGUAAGUUUCACGACUAAAGGCUUUCUUUUUCCGCUUUUCGUCCUUCGUGAUUUACGCAGCUUGCGAUAUCAAUGGCAACUAAAGCGUCUUCUCUUACGAGAGAGCUAAAGACGAUAAAAUCGGAGUUGCUGUUUAUGCAAGAGAGGUGUAGUUUGCUUGAAGAGGAGAAUAGGCGGCUUCGCGAAGGGAUAGAGAAAGGAGUUUCAGAAGAAGAUGACCUGGUAAUUGCUUCGCGCUUUAGGAAGCAUGUUGUUAGCAUCAUUUGAUUAUGACGAAAUGUGAGAAUUUCACUAAUCUGACAAUAUCAGGAACGCUACAUUCCUCUGUUUGGUCCGCACGGUAAAAUUGUCAUAUAUUACCUAGGAAUACCAGAUUAAUGUGUUUGGUUCGUCAAUGAAAUUUCCAGUAAUUGUAGCAGUGUGCAAUUACUUUCCGACCUCUACUAUAUGUAUAUUUAUAUGCGCCUCAUGCAAGAAACAUCUGUUAACUAUAUAUACAACAUAUUCUUCAAAAUGUUUUUCAAUAGUCAAAAAGUACAAAUCAUUGUUCACAGAAUUAUUGAUGUACCGAAAUUUGCUGAUUAUGUGCAUAUUUUUGCUGAUCUUUUGAUGCAUUUUUUAUGCAGGUGAGGCUUCAGUUGGAGGCUUUACUAGCUGAGAAAUCAAGAUUAGCGCAGGAGAAUGCAAACCUCCUGCGAGAAAAUCAGAGCCUUCACCAGCUGGUUGAGUAUCACCAGCUAACUUCGCAGGAUCUGUCGGCAUCGUAUGAGCAAGUCAUGCAGGGAAUGUGCUUGGAUUUCUCUUCUCCACUCGGGAAAAUAGAGAGUGACUCGGAUGAUAGUGAAAACGGCUAUGAAGAAGAUGGAGUUAUCGAACAGAUAAGUUAACGACGUCCUCGUCUUCUGCAGAUGCACUCUGAACAUCUGCAGUUGUAUCGGUGUUCACCGACCAGCUUCUUUUCGCCAUUGAUGUUUGGCGUUAAUUUUGUUGAUUUCUCACCUAGCGAUGUUCGAUUUCUUUCUUCAGUUUACUACAUUGCUGGGAAUUGUACCCACUUCAGUAUAUAUACCCUCAUGAGCAGCAUCUAUGUUCACUCUGUAAUAACAAACUUCAGGCAGUAACUGCAUAACUACGUAUUUGAAUUUAGAGAUCUCUCUACUUGCUGACUAGUAUCAAAGAUUCAAAGUUUGAUGCACAAUCAGCAAAACUAAGAUUUGAACAGAUUGAACAAUAACUAACGUAACUGUUCUCUGAUAGCUUAAUCUUUCAGAGUAACAGGCAUGAAUAGUUCAAAACGUCUACCGUGAUUGGUUGAGCUUGUUGUAGGGUGGCAUAACUGUUUCUAUCUCUAUCCCUAUCAUCGUCGGAAUAGAUUUUGAUUUUGGCGUAAACUGGAGUUUCUGGAAAUUAGGAAGGCGACAAGAUGCACUCGCAUGAGUAGAAAGGUAAAACGCGCCUCGAAUGCAUUGACACCCAGCUGUAGGAAACACUGUUCGAAUUGGAGUUUACUGUGUUCGAUUCUGUAACUUGACAGUAAAACAUCAGUUGAGAAUCUAUUCAAUCAGUUCAUGUAUUAAGAAGCUUUGAGAGGAAACUUUCGAGGCUGAACUCAGAUCAAACAGUGCUGUUUCGCAAAGUUAAGUCAGUUGAUGUUUGAGACAGAUUUUUCCUUAAAAUUUUAUUGUUUGGCGGUGAUUAAACAGUGUGUAACUGUGUUCUGACAUGUUGCUCCUUUCUUUCGUAGUUCUUGUAACAAUGACUUUGUAAUUUUCCAGGAAGUGGUUGUGUUUCAGCACCUUGGAAUGUCAUAUUUCUGAUAUUCGGGACGGGACUCAUUUAAAGAUUGCAUAUGGCUGGAACUUUGUAGAUUCUUACAAUUACGUCUCAAAUCCAAUGUAGCUAAUUAAAUACCAACAUGUCACUAAUGUGAAACUGAUGUAACAGUAAUGUGAUUGACAACACAACGAUAAUUAAGCCAUUAUAUCACUUCCAUGUCAACGACGCAUCAGCGUUUACUCAACUAAAUAAACUGCACUGUGGAACUCAAUUGCAACAAUUUAUACAAUUCGAGAUAAAAAUUUGCAACAAAUUAAAAUUUAAGUACUAAUAUGUUAUUGGCGCCAUAGAUUGACCAAAAAUGUAAUUAAGCCAUUGGAGAUUGAAUACCAAAGAAGCUUUACAUGCUACAUAUCUUGUUGUUCAAAACUGGCUAGCAAAUUCAAAACAUUUUGCGGGCUUUGCUCUCACCCGACUCGCGAAUGACCUCGGAGUAAGAACUUUGAAUAUGACAUGAUAAACACAACCAGCAUGACAAUAACAGUUUGAAAUCUGGCCAUCACUAGAAAUUGUUACAAGCAAUACUACUACUUACAACUGUUACAAUUGGACACGAACUCAGAAAUUUGAAACUUGUUAUAUUCACCACAGAUGACAAAACAACACAUAACGCCACAAAAUGGAGUAAACACCGUAAAGGGAAAAAAGAAAUGGUCACUGAGAAAGCAAAACCUUGUACAUAAUUCGACACUCCUUCUCAUAUAUUUGGGGACAACACAAAAAAAAAAAAAGAAGACCAAAUAACUUUACCGAGCCAUAAAAAACUGGCAUCUCUGAAAGAAACGAAGGAUAUGCACAAUAAAGGUAAAAAAAAUUUACAUGGGUCGAAGAGCUAUAUACUUCUCUAUGGUGUCAAUGCCAAUUUGGAUACUGCAUCUGGCUAAUCUUAUCUAUAUCGCACUAAUCUGAUAUGAGUUAUUAAAGGAAAAUGAUCAAAGAAUGGCCAAAGCAAGAAAAGCAUACGCCAAAAUGGCAGGCUUGAAGCAGUUUAGAUGAGAUUGGGAUGAAUGGCUAAGAGAAGGUGUCAACUGUGUAGUGAUUUCGGUACCGUUUCCGCUCUCCCUUGUGGCCUCGGGCGUAUAACUUUUCGGUAGAGGAGAGAGAACAGAAGAAUUAUGUGAAUUCACGGUGAGGGAACUUGACUCUUCCACAUCGUAGCCUGAAGUUGAAAAAGAAGAAAAAAAAAGAAAAGGUCAUGCAUUACCCAAUAAUCUUCAUCGUAGUUGCAGAAGUUGCUUGAAAAAUGUUACUUACAGUUGAAGGGUUUCCAACCAAGUAUCUUUCUUUCUCGAUCAAAGACGACACGAAGACCAGUCAUGAAAUUUUCUGCACAUCAUUAAAUCUAUGUAUAAGCUGAGAAGUAAAAUGAAUCAUAAACAACAAUACCAAAAAUACACUAAUAAUAAUAAUAAUAAUAAUAAUAAUAAUAAUCUUCUCCCCGAAGAAACAAGAGAAUAUUAAUUAAUAGUCCAAAGAACUCAUCUGCAUAAUCGAUAUGAGUGAAAUUUGAAACUGCAAAGCACGAAGUUAAUAUGAUAAUUCAAGUCUACUUAGGCUUAGCUUGGGAACACGUUGCCCAAAACACUAGCUUUGAUGCUUUGGAGUUCAAGAAAAUCCAAAAGUCCCUUAGAGAUUACGUUUCGGAUGCUCUGAAAUGCUGGGGAAACUGCCACCAAAGAAGAAUCCGCCAAGUGCUUCCCCGGAAAUGGUGGCCAAAUCCAACCGCCAAUUCAUAACAAUGGAGGAAGCACUUUUCAAUCUUCUGGGCCCUCUAAGAAAGCAAAUCAGGUGCAUAUGAUAUGGAUUUAUCCAUAACAUCUAAAAUAACUUGGUCCAGCGGCAUGGUCAUAGGUUAAGAAAAACAACGUAAUAGUUCUAUUAUCAUAUGAAUGACUGAUUGUACGUAAAAUCCAAAAAAUUCAGUAAGGUUUUGUAUGAAUUAACACUGCUGAACUUAGAAAAGACUUACGUCCAAUGAUAUUCAACUUGUUGCUCCUCACAACGGCCAAACAAUAAAUGUACUCAUGUUGCUGCAUGUGUUGAGAGGGGGGGAAAAAAAGAAGAGUUUUGUUAACUAAUGAGGACUUCAGAAGCUUCAGAGUAUAAAUUAAAUGUGGGCAGAGUCUUACCUGUAUGGAGAUGACAAUACCUGGUUCACUGACAGGAAAGAGGCUUCCACCUUCUGUUGUGAAACUAAGAUUAGGAGCAUGAAAUUUGGUAUCAUUUGAACUGCGAAAAAACUCAGUCAUAUUAGAUAUAUACUUACUGAAUAAAUCAUAGGAAAUAAAUUUUCACUAUAAAGAAGUUGAAAGAAAGAGAAGAAUAACCUCAUGGAAUAACAGUACUCAAAAGGGAUUCUAGAAUCAGUAGCAUAUCGGUUUAGUUGCACCUGUGCAUCGAACUGGAAAAGGAAAACAAACAAAAACUGUUGAAUCAGCACUGUAUCGGUGUUUCCAAUACUGCCAGAUAAAGUUUCAUCACUUGAUUCACUUACAGUCUCAGUUAAAAAUGAGUAAGCUGGAUCUGCCAAGUAUGUGAAAGAGGUUCCUGUGUCAAAAAAAGUACUGAUAUCCAAAUUCAGAGAGCUGUUCUCAACACUUAUUCCAGUUAUAGUGAUGUUGUAUGUGGGGCUGCAAACAGAAAAUGCCAAGAAGAAAAAGAAAGAUAGAGCGGUUAGUGAAAACCAACAUAAUAUGUUAUUCUAGCGAGAAAUGAAAAUCGCGACAGAUCGAAAGAGGAUAGAGAAGCCUACUCACUGUAACUGGUUAACAUAAAGUGGGGUCUCUUCCUGGUCUGAGCUGCCUUGGUCUCCAAAACUGAUUCUCCCAAAACCAUCAUGUCCAAAGCACAUGGAAAAGGAAUCAGAUGUGAGGCCUUUGCUUGCUAAAAUGCUGGGGACUGAUAUCUUUUCCAUACCCAGUCCUAAUAGACCAUUAGGAGCCGCGGCAUCCAGGAAAGAGCCAGUCUGAACCUGCCCACAACUGCAGAAACCAACCAACAUUUAAUAACAUCCAAAUCUAGAGGAUAAGGCGGGCAGAUAACAAGUGAAGUGACAACAGUUACAACUCUGGCUAAACUUUUUUAGGAAGAUUUUCAUUACCCAAACACUAUUUGUGCCUCAACAAUUUCAGGACGAGCAUCCUCUGUUGUCAAGUACAAAACAUCCUCAACAAGAAAACCGGAAGACGAGGUGCCAGCGGAGACAUAGGUGAUCUUAUAUGGACAUUGCGUUGUCUCAGAGCACUCAUUUUGAUGUUCACAAAAAUCGUUGCCACAAGGCACCCUUUGGCUUGUCAAUGACAUAUUAGGACUAUAGAAGCUAGACUCAAAUUCCUGCCAUUGGAAAGUGAUAUCAGACGAUCUGCAUGGUUUUCUAGGCAAAAUGUUAAGCAUAAGUUACUAGUAUUAUUACAAAUACAACUCAACAAAUUGUUGAGUCAAAAGGCAAAGGGUUAAUGCACAAUAGCACAUUUGACAACAUACAAAUGUAACAAAGAGAAAAAGGAUAGCAAGCUUUAUACAUUAUACACCUACAGAAAAGACAAUGAAAAUAUGAAUAAGAUUAAUACAUCACGACAAAAAUAAAAGUUACACAAACUAUCACAUAAUCUCACCAGAUAGACAUAUUAACAGGUGUGUAAUGCAAAAUGCAUGUGUCUUUUCUGUGUUUCCUUGGAUAGCAAACAUUUAAAUAAGUAAAAUGAUCUCUCCAGAGUCAAGACCCAAUAAGUUUGUUUACAGAUUGUGGACAGUGUAUUCGUUUCCUUAAUAAGCGAGAAAUUACAAGCCAAAAAUAUUAUGGCUUACUAUUUACCGAACAACAAAAGUAUGCAACAACAUAUAAGAUGGUAAGAAAUAAGUUAAAAAAUAACUUAAAAACCAUAGUGGUUUACCUAUGGUUAACCUAUAUUACUUAAAUUUUGGUUAUGAUCAACCUAUCUGACUGGAAUUAAGGCAAAGGCCCCCUUAUAGUUGAGUUAGAAGAGACACAAACAAAAACAGAAGUGAUAUGGAAAAUAAAGCCACACAAUAAUUUGAGAGAUAUCCGGUGUAAUAUCAUUCAAAGUUUUGAUACUCUCAAUUCAAAUCACUAUUUUAUCUCUUUCAGGCUAAAGAGAAUGCCUUAAAUUUGCUCAAGAAUUCACUGUUUUAAGGGAUUUAUGUUUUUUUACUAUUUGAAUGCUGUUAUUUACUAUUUGAAUGCUGUUAUAAACUGUGCAGUAUGAUUUUCGUAAUCUAAUCAGCCAACAACCCUCACCACUAGCCCUACUUCGAUUAGGAAUUUCAGUUAUACCUGCUGUUCGCUCCUUGUUAAUUACCCACUUACCCUAAUUUUCACAGAUCCCCUGUUCUGCCAGUCCCCUUUUGAACCUUUUAACACCCUAGUUUGUUACAGUCUACCUAGCAAUAAUUAUCACAUUAGUUUAAUAUUCCAUUCUUUGCAAGAGCUUUCUUGUUAAUACUAGUAUAGUAACCCGUGCGAUGCGACGGAUAAAUAAUUGAAAAAAAAAAUAAAAACGAUGACAAAGGAAGAGAAAAAGGCAAUGAAAGAAACGACGUUAAAGGGUGAGAUUCAUCUUGUCGAUAAAGAAAACUAAAAGAAGAUGAAGAAGAACAGUUCGGCUCAAUAUAGAGGUGUGACCCGGUUCGGUUCAAGCCCAAAAAAAAAAGGUUGACCAGAUUCGAUUCAAAUAAAGAAGAGAGAAAUCAGGUUCAUUCCAAGUAAAGAAAGAGAAAAAUAUAUAGAAGACUUGAGCCGGUUCGGAAGAGCCCACACUUAACAAUAACCAAUUCGGUUUAGACAAAGAAAGAGAAAAAUCCAGUCCGAUGCAAGCAAAAAAAGAAGAAAAUAUGUGGAGGAUUUGAGCUGGUUCUAAUUAGAGCCCACACUCAACAAUGAAGGACAUGUUGCCAUGUGGUUCUAAUUAAAGCCCACACUCAACAAUGAAGGACAUGUUGCCAUGUGGCAAAUUUAAGAGGAAUAAUGUAUAGGUAUAGAGGUAUAGAUAGAUAUAGAUAUAGAUUUCAACUCCGUUCGAUAGCAUUGAUCAUGAUUCCUGGGAGUCCAUCUCUGUGUCAACCUAGGUGACCUUCUCAAUAAAGAACUACAUCAAUUUGGCCAAGUACUAAUGACAAAGUAGAAAAAGAGGCACAUCUUUCCAAAAACCAUUUCGUAUUCCGAGAGAUGAUCAAUAGAAACCUACAUUAACAUCAAACUGAAGCAAGAAAAGCAAGAGAAAGAAUCACAUUCAACUGAGAUAAAGAAACCUUACCAAUCCAUAGCUCGCGGAGGAGGUCGGCGCACAGCUACUGCAAUCACAGGGCAGCCAGAACAGAUCGCUGCCGGUGUCGAGUGCCACCAUGAACGUCAGGCUCGGAGUGCCCACCGACACCAUCGCAUAGUACAAACUGCACCCAAAACACAACCACAACCAAUCACUCCAUGAAGAACCCCAGUUCCCCAAAACCCUAGCCAAUCUAAAAUCCUUGCACGUAAAAGAAUCAAGGAAGGAGGAGGGAAGGGCCUUACAAUCCAAGGGAGCUGACCUUAAUGGUGGCGUUGCCCUCGGAGAAAGUGACGGCGGGGGCGGCGCCGCCGCCACCACCACCACCAUCAGCCUUAUUCUGGCGUCUUCGCCCGUCUUACCACCUUCUGCGCCUGCCGCCUCCGUUGCCUCACGCCUCGACUCCACCCACCGUCUCACCGGCGCGGAGAACCGGUGGUGCAACCCUAACCCUAACCUCCCGCCACCACCGCCGCCGCCGCCGCCGCCGCCCUUGCCGCCGCCGCUCGCGGCAAUGAAGAAGGAGAGAGCGGUGAGGACGAGGAAGAAGGGAGAGAGGAGAGAGGCCAUAGGGAUUGGGGGUAGAAGGGGAUCAAGAGAGGUGAAACCCUAGAAGAAGAGGCAUCUAGGGUUAGGGUUUACAAGAAUUCGUCGUCGUCGUCGUCGUCGUCGUCGUCGUCGUCGGGAUUUCGCCGCUCUUUCCUUUUCCCCCCAAAUUUCUCAGAAAAUUGGUUCGAAAUUUUACACUUGUAAGGGAGAGAGUCUUAAAUAGUACUAAUAAUAAUUUAUUAAUAAUAAUUUAUUACUAUUAUUAUCAAUUAUUUAUUAUUAUUAUUAUUUAUUAUGAUGAUGAUGAUUAUUAUUAAGAUGGAGAGACGUAGACGAGUGUCCGCGGAGGUUGUGGUGGUGGUCGGUGGGCGCUUUCUUAAUAAAUAAAGGGAAAACUUCAAAAACCCCCCCUGUGGUUUCAUGCAUUCUCACUUUCAUACCCUGUGGUUUAAAACGUAUCAAUUUGCCCCCCUGUGGUUUCAUUUUUUUCUUUUUGUUAUCAAUUUUAUUAUUUUUUUUUCUUAAAUCAGUAACAAAAUUAAAAUUAAAGGAUACUAAAGUGAAUAUUCGAUAAACAUAGAUGGUUAUCUGAAGUUUUUUGUAUAUAAUUUAACGAAAUAUUAACGAAAAAGCUUCUGAAAAGAUAAAAACGAAACAACAGGGGAGCAAAUUGAUACGUUUUAAACCACAGGGUACUAAAGUGAGAAUGCAUGAAACCACAGGGGGGGUUUUUGAAGUUUUCCCAUAAAUAAAAGAUGGAAUUGUGGGGCUCACGGGGAGCAAAACGCAACAAAACCCCUAAUCUUUAUCACUUUUGCACAAAACCUUCUAAUUUUUUUUUUACUUUUAUAAAUGUGCACUUCAUGCACUUUAUUAAAUAGUUAAGUAGUUUUUGUUCUCAAUUAAAGUCAUUUAUUAGAACAGUCAACGAGCCGAACAAGUGCCAGUUGGGGCUAGCUCAAUUAAUAUCAAGUUAAAAAUUCAGCUCAUGUACAGUUUAUUUAUUAACGAAAUGAAUACGAGCUCGCUAGCGAAUAAUAAGUUAAAUUAUCAGUCUUAUUAUUGGAUGAAAAGUUAGAAACAUAUUAGAAAAUUAGAAUCUUAAUCAAAUAAAUAGAAUUCACAAAAUGUAGGUCUCUUUAUAUUUGGAUCGCCCUAAAAUUCAAAUAGUAAAAAAUUAUAUUACAUUUUAUUAUAUAUAUAUAUAAAAUAAAUUUCGAGCUAUAUGGAACUGAACAUAAUUAACGUGACCUCAGCUUGUAUUUGGCUCGUUUAUUACACCAGUGAUUGAUCUAAUGCUCAUAUUAAGUCGAUUGCCAACCCUAUUAUUAAUUACACAAACUUUGAAAUACAAAAAAGUAAUCUCUACAUUUUAUUCUAGUAUAUGAAAAAAAUAUAAAAAUUGAGGAUGAAUUAAUUCUAUUUUUUUCAUCGUGAUGCUUAAAAAUUAGAAUUUUUUGUAUUUUGAGGUUUCACAAAUAAAACUAGAUUAAUUAACGAGUAAUAAGUUAAUAGAACUAAUAAAUUUAAUAAAAAUUUGAAUUUAACUAAAUAUAAAAAGAUUCAAAUUAAAAAAAAAAAUAGAAGUUGAGAAAUCUCAUUCAAAGCAAAAAUACUUAUAAGGAGUUCAUUUCAAAAAUAGUGAAGGACCAGCGCGUUGCGACGGAACGACUUCAUAGAAAUAAAUAAAUAAAUAAAUAAAUUUAAAAAUAACAAAACAAAGAGUUAAAAAAUUAUAUAAAAUAAACAACUGAAAAAUAAACAACUAAUUAAAAUUUGAGAAUAAAAAUGUCACAUAUCUCAUAAUUUAAAUCAUAAUACAUUAAAAUGUAGGGAUUAAAGUGUUAUUCGUCUUAUAUUUUUAAGGACGAAAGUGUAAAUCCAAUCGUCCAAUUUUUUUUAUCCAACUUUUUAUAUGUUAGAUUUGAGCAAGUCAACGAUAUUUUGACAAUUCUCGCAAUUAAAUUUUAUAAAAUAUAAAAUUAAUUUAAACUCUAUCAAUCUUUUUUUAUUUUUUAAUGUAUAAUCUAGAUAUAUCUAAAUGCUCAAUAUUGUAAAUUUAAAAUUUAUAUUUAAUACAAAUAAUAUAAACUAUUUAAAAUUUAUUUAUAUAUUUUAAAUUUUUAUAGUACAAAAUAAAAAAAUAGAUUAGACUUAAAAAACAUUAUAAAUUUUCUUCUAUGUACAUGAACAAAAAAAAAAAAAUUGAAAUCAGAGGAAAAAAAAAAAAAAACCUCCCUCCUCUCUCCCCUGCUGAGUCCCACCCGCACUGGAUCCUUAUUGAAUUUUAAAAAAUAAUAAGUGAGGAAAAAAUUAAGAAGAGAGAGAGAAAUUAUUAUUAUAAUUAUAUAUAAUUUUUAGAAAAAAUAAUUUAUUGUUCUUACAUUUUUUCCUCUAUUCUUCUUUUAUCUAUCUUAUCCUUUAAUUUUUAUUUUUUUUUAACUUUUUUAAUGUUUCAUUUUUAAAUUUUCUUUCUUCUUUUUUAUAUAUUUUUAAUAAUUUUUUUAUUCAGGCUUAAUUAAAAUUUAUAUUUAAUACAAAUAAAUUUAACUUAUUUAAAAAUUAUUUAUAUAUUUUCAAUUUUUAUUAAAAAUAAAUAAAAAUUUAGAUUAAAUGAAAAAAAUUAUAAAUUUUUUUAAUCAUAUAUUAAAGAACAAAUAUAUAAAAAAAUUAAAGAGAAAAAUUAAAGAGACCAAGUUCGAAUCCUAGUUGAUUCACAUUUCUAGCUAAGUUCAUUUCUAAAUGAAAUAAACGAAGCGGUAGCAUGCUAACUAUCUCUCUCAAAAAAAAAAUAUUAAAGACAUAAAAAGAGACAAAAAAAAAAAAAAUCCAUCUCAAUCUCCCUCUCCUCUCCUCUCGGCUGGGCCCCACCCUCUCCUCUCCUCUCCCUCUCCCGCUCCUCUCCCCGCCACCCGGCCCGCCUGCCCGCGCCCCGCGCUCACCCCUGCCCGCGCCUCCACGCUCGCCACCUGUUCGAAAACUGAGAAUUCAUGUAUGUUAUAGAUGUGUCAUAGUGGAGAUGCUCUUUAUACAUUUCUAAUUUUUUUAAAAAAAAAAUUUUAUUUUGAAAAAACUUUAAAAAAUCCCAUGUGGUUUGGCACUUUUUUUUUUCAUUUUAGUACCUUGUGGUUUAAAGUGUAUCAAGUUAGUACUCUGUGGUUUCGCGCUUUCUCACUUUAGUACCUGUGAUUUAAAGUGUAUCAAGUUAGCACUCAGUGAUUUUAUUUUUGUAUCAAGUUAGUACUCAGUGGUUUUAUUUUUGUAUCAAGUUAGUACCCUGUGGUUUUAUUGUUCUCUUAAUGAAAUAUUAAACCACAAGGUACUAAAGUGAGAAAGUGCAAAACCACAGGGUACUAACUUGAUAUACUUUAAACCACAGAGUAUAAAAGUGAGAAAGUGCGAAACCACAGGGUACUAACUUGAUACCACAGGGUACUAAAGUGCGAAAGUGAGAAAGAGUGAAACCAUAAGGGGGUUUUUGAAGUUUUUCCUUUUAUUUUUUUUAUGGUGGAAUGGGUAGAGAGUGUGGAGUACAAAGAGUAGUUGUAUGAUUGGGAUAAGCUCGCUGAUGUCACUUGUGAUGUCACUUUUAGGGUGUAAAAUUAUAAACUAAAAAUUCAAAUAACGUGAAUAAACUAAACUUUUUGUAAUUAAUUAUAUGUUAGCCAUAAUUUUUAACAUUAUAUCAAUCAUGAUUAUAUUUUAAAUAAAAUUAUUUUGCCAAAGACAAAUAAAUCGAAUUGAACGGACCGAAUUAUUUUGGUUUGGUUCAGUUUAAAAGUUUAUACCUUUAAUUCGAUUCAAUUCAAUUUUUCAAAAUACUACAAAAAUCGAACCGAACGGACCGAGGCGGUGCUUUGAUUAGAUUGCGGUACACGCACCUUAGCCAAUGAUGGUGACAACUUAAAAAAAAAAGAAAAUAAAAAAAAAGAAAAAAUAGUUUUAAAUUUUAUUUUGUUGAGAAAUAAAUAACUUAAAAGGCAAGAUCGAAAGUAAUUCACCAUUCACUCCUAUGAUUAUUAUAUAAAAAUUUUAUUUACAAAAUAAAAAAAAAGGCAAUAAAUUCAAACAGUAUCUAAAACUGUAAAUUUUUAUAAUUUGUUUACUAAGCUUUACCAAAAAUAGUUUAAUCAACCCUCUUCUGAAGUGAAGUUACUUAUUAAGUAGUCAUUUUAAUCGUACGUCCUGUAUAUGAUCUUGUAAAAUUUUAAAAUAUAAAAAAAAAAACAUCUGUUUUUCUAUAAUUAAUAAAAUUAAGCAUCAAAACUUAAGUUUUAUUUAACAAUCUUCAAUUGCGCGAAAACCAAAUGAAUUAAAUGCCUAUUUUUCAAAAAGUAUUUGGAUAAUUGUAAGAGCUUGUAAAUAAUUUGACUUUUAUGAGAUUGGAUGUUGUUAAGAAAAACUAAUAGAAUUAUGGAUUAAGUGGUUGUUAAAAAUAGUUAAAAAAAUUAUAUAAGUUCAUUUUUAUUUUGACUUUUAAAGUUCAAAUAAUGAUUUAUAUUUCCAUAUUGUUCAGGGAUCUCACAUGUAUAUAAUUUCUUUUCUUUUCUUUUCUUUUCUUUUUCUUAAAAAAAAAAUUUGGAAGAACAGAGCAGGGUCAGAGGGGGUCAUACUUUAGUUACCAUAAACAUAAAUAUUGUCAUGAAGCAAGAGUUAAAUAUAAAUAAAUAUCUAUAUUAUUAUAAUGAUUCUUUUUUUAAAAAAAAAUGCAAGAAUAAAGGGCGAAUCUUAGGGAAUGUUUUACUGCAUAUAGUUGUAAUUGCACUGCAAUUAUAACUACCUGCAAUUCCAAAUCCAGUAUUUUGUUUCAUGCAUUUGAGUCUAAUUACUGCAGUUAGAACUGUAUGAGGAGAUCCAACUGGUUCAAACUACGUUCAAAUUUGUCGUAGUUCCAACUCCAAUUGAAGAAUGUAAAUUUAAACCGGAGGUAAACUUACAUCCCUAAUUAUUUUUAAAUAAAAAAAUUUUCUACAUUGGAAGUAAUCACACCAACAAAAAAUUAUAAAGUUAUAAAAGUUUUUAAAUACACUUCUCAAUAAUAUGCAAUCAAACAUAUAAUUUAUAGUUGCAACGCCUUCUACUAUAUCCAACCAAACAAAAUAUAUAUAGUUACGACUAUUAUAUUUCUAACAGUAUUCAUCUCUAACUAUACUGUGUUUCUAAUUACAUUCAACAAAACGGCUCCUUAGUGUGGUUCAUUGAAAGGAAGAGAAUUAAAAAAUACACAAUUUGAAGUUUUGAAACUCAGGUAUCCAAUUGACCGUCCCUAGAGCAAGUGGCAAAGGACUUGAUGGUUGGUAUCGGAGUUCCCAAGUUCGAAUCCUAGUUGAUUUAUAUUUCAAUGAAAUAAACGAAGCAGAUAGCGUGCUAUCUAUCUCUCUCUCAAAAAAAAAGAGAAAAAGAAACUCAAGUAUCCACAAGGCCACUAUCCAAAGUCAAAUGGUUAAUUCAUAUUAACCUAAUCUAAGGGAAGCAUUUAGUUCUUCUAAAAAGCAUGCAAAACUAUUUUGCAAUAAAAGAAAAAAAGUUAUCAACCGUUCUUAGCGCAAGUCGCAAAGAGUUUGGUGAUUGGUAUCCGAGAUGUCAAGUUCGAAUCUUAGUUGAUUGACAUUUUUAGCUAAGUUUAUUUUUAAAUGAAAUAAAUGAAGCGGGUAGCAUGCUACCUAUCUCUCAAAAAAAAAUAAUAAUAAAAGAAAAAAGUUUUCUACAGAAAACACUCUUUUCCACAAUAUUCAUUUUCUGAAUGAAUAAUUCAAAAAAUAAAAAUAUUACCUUUCCAUAAAAUUUGAAAAAAAAAAAAAAAAUCUAGAGAACUUACUUUUCCUAUAAACCAAACGAACGAAAAAUAUUUUUCCAGUCAGAAAAUUAUUUCUCCGAAUCUUCUCCAGAAACCAAAACACCUACACUCAAACAAAUUUUGUGUUACAAUGGUUAGAUUACAUUUAAAAGUGAAUCAUAUCAGCAAAAGAGAACACAUUCAACAAUGAGUUGUAAUCUUAUAAAAUUCCUUUGUUUCCCCCCCUUUAUUUUGGCUAAUUUAUCAUCUGAAACAAGCAGCAAAAACUCAUCUGCAAAGUAGAUCUUACAAACUGAAUCAAAUGUUUCUGCUCUACACAAGCACUGAUUCAGCUUACUUGUUGCUUUUGUACCAAAACCUAAGCAUGGAAACUCAAACAUUUUCGCCUUCGACGGUUUUAUUCCCCAGCAACUGAUCGAGAAUGCUUCUCCAGUUCUUGUAAUCCAGCGGCUCGCCGGAGUCCUGGAGCUGCAUUCCGUUGACAAAGAAGAAAGGAGUUCCAGUCACGCCUCGCGAGCACCCGUACUGCGAAUCAGAACACGUCGUAAUGCAACUAAGACGCGUUGGAUUUGGAAUUGAAAAUGAUGUGAUGAGAAGUACUAAAGUAGCUGUUUCGCACCUUGAAGGAAAUUCUCGCGGCAUUAUCAGUCUGCGAAUCGUUGAAACCUGAUUUUAGCGCAGGCAGCGAGUUUUCACCGACGACAGUCGCUGCCAGAUUCACGAAAUCGCCAGUUAUCGAAGCCCUCGACAGUCUGUAAGUCGGUGCAUUGUAGUACUUCUCCUGCGCGACGCGGUCGUACGAUAACAGAAAAAAUGGCGAAAUUUGCACUAAUCAAAUCAUAAAACAGGAAAAAAGAGGGGAAAAAAAAAAUCUGAUACUAAUGGCUAUACAAACAUGAUAAGAAUUAUGAACAGGGCAAAAACAACUGCAGUUAUUUGAACUACCUGAUACUUGAAGAAGAGCUCUAGCAAGGGAAAUGUUGAGGAUGCAUUUAGCUUGUUUGCGAUGUGAAGCGAACGGCACGCCGUAAACGCGUUGCUGUGGUAACUGCAUAUUGCAUCCAAACAUAAUCUUUUAUCUCGAAGAACAAAAAAAACAGGUUUCUGAAACGCGAUAAGAACAUAUCAAAUGCUAGCUAACAAAAGUCUCUGCCUUUUUCUGCAGUAGUGAAAUGUUAAUAAAUGCAAUCUACUGAUCUGAAAAUCUUAAAAAUAAGAGACGAGGGAGAAUCGAGGGAUGUUUAGAUCUUCGAUUCGGAAAAAUUGUUUAGUUAACUUAUUUGAUCUGCAUUGCAUCUGUAACAUUAAGUUCAUGUAGAAAUCUUAAUACUUAAAGGGGCUGCAACACCUGCACAAAUUGCAGAAUGCGGGAAUCGAACUCUUGGCGUGCUCUUAUAUCACUUGUUUGAUCGUUGGCGCUGAUCAUAAUUUCUAAAACUUAGGCUGUUAGAGGGGAAGUAACCAAUUCACUUAAAACGUAUAGACACAGUACCCACUUGACCAUGAUUUGGCCCAAUUUGGCCUCCCCGCCAACUUGAUAUUCCGCGACUUGUUAUAAAAAUUUUCCUCUCAACUAAAGCAAGCUAAAUGUAUGAAAGCACAAUGGAUAGAAAAGAAGGAAGGAUAGGCGAGGAACAAUAGAUACCUGCUAAUGUUUCUUAAAUAGAAAGAUCAAAAUUUGAAACUAGAGAUAAAAGAAGGAACAUCCCACAAAAAUGAAUAAUACAAAGAGUCAUAUAAUGAAAGAGUAAACAAAAUUUUAUUGGUGUUAGGAUAAGAAAAGUACAAGUGAACAGAGAACAAUAGAGCAUUAAAAGGACAGGAACUGCAGAAUAUUCCUAAUCUUAUAGCAGACACAUUGUUGCGAAUCGGAAUAUAAAGAGGAAACGAAAAUCGCAAAAGAAUCUUAUGCCAUUCGUCCUAAUGGUGUUUGGAUUCGAGAUAUUUUGAUAGGUCAAAAACGUGGAAUAAUUAAAUAUGAGAAAAUUAAAUAAAGUUAGGGAGCUGGUGGGACUCGAAGUCAGAACCUGCUGUGCUGAUAUAAUGUUAAAUUAAUGUAAACAAAAAUUGUUAUUUUCUUCAAAAAUUAAGCUACUAGAGAAUAAUAUUUUUAAUUUAUAUAUUUUAUAUAUUCGACAAACAUGGCCACAUAAAGCAGAAGCAUAACAAAACUAGUUCACUCUAAAAGGAAAAAUCAAAAUAAAGAAAGAAAACAAAAUACAGUAUAUUAAGUUUCUUAUGGAUUGUGAAAUACUGAAGUACCGUUUUCUAUCAACUUAAAUUUUUACAGAAACGUAGUUGUUUAAGUCAAGUUUUGAGUCUUCGGCAUGUGACAUGAUAGUUUCAUAGUUCUCUACCACUCCAAAUCACAAGAACCUGUAUGGAAAAUCGGAACGAAAUCACAUAUGCAUAAAUUAAUCAAAAAAUAUAAAAAAAAAUUUCACUUAAAUUUUACCAGAAUUAUAAUUCAUAAUGUGAAUUUUAAAAUAUUAGAAUUUACCGACUAAAAGUCAAAGCGCAUUCGAUUCUCACAAAGUUUAGAUCGUUCUGAUGCAUUUCUUUUCAUAGAAAAGUAAUCUAUAACUAAGCUAGAGAAAGAGAGAGAGAGAUCAAGGCGACUCACGGAAGAGGAAAGGGAUGGGCGACGACGGCGACGCGGGCGGAGGAAUAGUAGCUUAUCGCCUGCUUCAGCGGCGGCCACGAGUCGCGGCUAUCGGGGCAAAGAGGAUCGAGAAAAGCCUCGACGACCACCGACCGGCCCCAGACCGGAGCUUUUCUAUACACGAAUCCGUCGAUCCUCGCAGGAAUCGGAAGCUGCGCCUCCGAGAACCCGAACCACAAGGAGAAGAAGAAUAAUGAAAAUAAGAAUAAAACGCACGACAUUGCAUUGAAAGCUGAUACUUUCUCCAUCUCCUCUUUUUUUUUUUUCUCUCUCUUUGUUGUAAGUUGCACUUAGACUAUACUAUAUAUAGUAGAGAAAAAAGAGAGAGAGAUGAAAAGCAGAGGAAAAGAGAGAGGGGGAGUGGAAAGUCAGAGAGAGAAGGAUGGCGGCAAUUUCUGAAGGAAUCUCAGACGGUUUGGGAACGGAAAAGAGUGCAGUCUGUUGUGGAUGUAGGCAAAUGCGUUGACAGGCUUCCCAAUUGAAUCUAGACACGUUUGUGGUUACUAGGAAGGAAAGUGAUGCAAUGACAUCAACAGCUAUCCAUAAAAUCAAUUAUGUUAAUCUAUUGAGAUUGCAGGAGAUUACGUCGCGUACAGUAAAAAAAAUUAUGAUAGCAAAAUAUUUUAUUUAUGUUUUUUACGUAAGUAAUAGCGCGUUUCGUAUUUCAAAAUUAGUCCACUAUGAUAUAUUUUCUAUUCUUCCACCAAAAAAUGAAGAAAAUUAUCUUUAUAUAUUUUCGCCCCAGCUUUGCUUUGCCUACUAUCAUUAUAUGGAUCUUAAAAAUUUUAAAAAUACUAAUUGUAAUGCUCAUAUAUAAUUUAUCAAAUUUAGAUGCUAUUUAUUAAAUAAUUUUUAAAAAAAUUUUAUGGGGACUUUUAUUUAUAUACUCCUUAGUACUAUUCAAAAUUUUCAAAAUUAUCUCUCACUUUCUAAAAUACCUUUAUAAAAUAAAUAUUUAUGGAAACUAAAGUAAGCAAUAUUGGAGAUGCAAUUGAUCCAGGUUGGUAUAGCUUCCGCCCCUUUUCGCUCCAAAUGGGACGGCAAGUAGCAAUCAAAACUAUAGAAAAAUGUAGCAUGUCUUGAAUCUUAAUAGAGCAUAAAGCGAGAGAGUCCUUGUUUUUUUUCUGAUCCGUCUCGAUCUGCUAAAAAUGUAUUCCUAUCUUGAUCAGUUCCAAAUGAAGCCGUAAGUGAGGAUAAAAAUAGAGUUAAAAUUAAUUCAUCCUGAAUCCCCCGACCCGAUAAGAAUUAGAGUAGGAGGUGGGGGAUCCCUCCCGGCCCGGAUCCGCCUCAUUUGCAUUACUAUGCAGAAUUUGGUUGCCAGAAAAAGUUAUUGUGUACACAAUACAAAAUUUAACUCAUGAGCUUUAAAGUUAAAAAACUCUUACAUAUUUUUUUUGAAAAAAAACAUAAAAUCGUGGACACCUUCUCUGACGCUGAUUAUUAAGAUUAUUUAAUACCUUAGUAAUAAAUUUUCAAAUAUUACGAUUUUUUAUAUAUACGCCUUUAGUUAAUGUAUAUUAUAGAGUAGAGCUCCUAUGCUUGGAUAUCUGUUUAAUUGCACAAAAUUGCAACCGCACUGCAGUUUCAACUGCAUUCAAAUCUAAAUAUGAUGUUGGUUUGGUAUACUUGAAUCCAAUUUUUGCAGUUGAAGCUGUAAAAAAGUUUUAACUAUAACAAUUGAAACUAUACCCAAAUUGUUCAUAAUUUGGACUAUAAUAGUUGGAGAAAAUAAAGCUUACCUAUUUAAUCACCUAAUCACUACAUUUUUCAAUUGAAUAUGUGUUUGUUUCAUUGACAGUGGAUAGAUGUAAAGUGGUUUCCGGUCGUAAAUAUCUAGUUUCAUUUUUUAAUGGGAAAACUUCAAAAACCUCCCCUGUGGUUUCCAACUUUCUCACUUUAGUACCCCGUGAUUUAAAGUGUAUCAAUUUGCCCUCCUGUGGUUUUGUUUUUAUUUUUUCUAUAGUUUUUUUCUUAAUAUUUCGUUAAAUUAUAUGCAAAAAAACAUCAGUUAUCCAUCUAGAUUUACCGAAUAUUUACUUUAGUACUCUUUAAUUUUUAAUUUUGUUGCUGAUUUGAGAAAAAAAAAUAAUAAAAUUGAUAAAAAAAAGAGAAAAACGAAACCACAGGGGGGCAAAUUGAUACACUUUAAACCACAGGGUACUAAAGUGAGAAAGCUGAAAACCACAGGGGGGGUUUUUGAAGUUAUCCCUUUUUUAAUUCACCGUAACUUUAUCUUUAGUAGAAAUCCAAACUCUCCAAAAUAUCAUAAUUAACUUCGGCCUAUCCCUGCAGAAAUAAAUUAUAUGAAAAAAUUAAAAUAUUAACUCAUCUCUCACACCUCACGCUUUUACACUAUUAACUUCAGGUUCACAGCUAUACAAACAAAUAUCAAAAGAGAAGGCAUUGUUCUCCUGAAUUUUACUCAAAAAUCUACUUCAAAUCAAACAAAAGACACAUUUAUAACUACUGUAUUUAUAACUACAUGCAUAUAUAAUUAUAAUAUAUUUGUAAUUACAUCUGACCAAACUGCUCAAAGGUACAAGUGCGGUUCAUAUAAUGUACAAAUAGACCGGGUGCGGGCAAUAAUUUCUGUAGCCACUGAUCUUGUUGGUGGAAGCCAACGCAGUAGUGCACACAUCAACUCUAAAAUACUCUUUAGCAUCUUGCAAGUUGGAAGAGUGUGGAUAUUUUCUAUUCAGAUCCGGAUAAUAGCGGAUACGGACACGGAUAAUUUUGGAUAAUAUCCAAUAAUUCGGAACCAUUCUCACCCCUAUUAAAAUGUGUAGAUACCUCCUCAACUUUUAUCAGUUUUGAAAUGAUCCUGUAAACAUUUUUAUUUGAUUUAUACUCUCUCUGCUUAGUAUCCUUUGAUUUAUCUCUAUGUAUUAGUAAUUUUAAAGAUUCCAUUAGAAACAUAGAAUCAAACGUCCAUAAUAAUGGCACGUAACUUUCUUUUUGACUAAAGUAAUUUUUGAUCUUGUGCAUCUACCGUAAGUGUUUAUUUUGAUUAUAAUAGAAUUUUCAAAAUAGUUAGAAACCGGAAAAAAUAGCCCAUAGGGUACUUAAAUCCAAAACCAAUCAAAAUUAUUCAUUACCCGCGUGACCUAAAACAAGAGACAACCCAAACUCUGAGACUCAACCUCAAAUCCGAACCAAAUAGGAAUGGAAACGGGGCGGAACCGGGGCAGAAGGGUCUCCCACCUUUCGCUCUAUUUCUUAUCGGAUCGGGAGAAUUCGGGACGGACAGAUCAACUUUAAUCAUAUUGUUGGUCCUCACCGCUCCAUUUGAGAUGGAUCAGAGAAGAAGCAGAUGUUUUGGUGAAUUUUUUGUAGAUCGGAAUGGAACGAGUCAAAAGAAAAAUAGUCUCCCGCCUCCCAUUUCAUUUAUUUGAUAGGUCAGGACAAAUUCGCGCCUCCCAUUUCAUUUAUUUGAUAGGUCAGGACAAAUUCGGAAUGAGUUAUAUUUCGGGUGGAAGCUCCACCAACCUAGAUUCAUUUGCAAUCUUAGACCCAAACCUCAAUUUCUGCAAGGAAUUGGGGUCGACCCAAUCCAAACCAAACCCAAACCCGAAUCCGAAUCCAAAUCCAAAUUCAAAUCCAAACCCGACCUACCAUUUUUCUCCUCCCAUUCCCCAAAACCUGCGAGAGCUCCCAACUCUCGCAUACCGCAUACGCCAUUGUUAGGGUUUUGUGUUGGAGAGGGAGAGAGAGAAAGAGAGAGAGAGAGGGGUUUUAGGGUUUGGGGAUGAGCGGGAGCGCGUUCAACGCGUUCAGGGCGCGGGCGCCGAUCGCGUGGAGUCCGCGACUGUACAUAACGCUGGUGCGGGGCCUCCCGGGGACGCGGCGCCUCCACCGCCGCACCCUCGAGGCCAUGCGCCUCCGCUGCUGCAACCGCACCGUCACCCACCGCACCACCCCCUCCCUCCUCGGCAUGCUCAACCAGGUCCCCUUCCUCCCCCUCCCCCUCCCCCUCCCUCUCCCUCUUCUUCGGAUUCCUCGUCGCAAUCGCUGCUGAACGAGCUAGGUAUCUCCGGGGCGAUUGUUGUAGGUGAAGAGAUUGGUGGUGGUGGAGACGGAGGCCAUGCACGUGGCGCGGAAGCAGGAGGAGGAGCAGCGCCGCGCGCUCCGGCCCCCGAUCGUCGUCGCUCACCGCCCCCCGCCGCCGUCCGCUUCCAAUGAGGCCGCGCAGUAGCGGUUGCAUCUUCCUCAUCUGUUUCCGCCAAUCAGAAUGAUAGGUGAUUUUGCGUAUCUUAUCUCCAAAUCAUGGAUAUUCAUGUGCAUUGUUGCUAAUUCUUGGUAGUUUGCUUUGAAUCAACUUUAUUUUGUGCAAGGAUUAGCGUAAUUCACAGCUUGUUUGGGUGUUCAUGGGAUUUUCAUGCACAAAACAUCAAUGUGCAAUCAGUGGUCAGCUAUUUGUGAGAUAUUUGUUAAAAUGCCCCAAAGAGGGAGCUCACGGCGUUUGCAACUGCGCUAGCGAAUUUGUAGAUGCCCAGUAGAAUUAGUAUUGUGGGUAUCAACAGCUUAGAGUUGAAAUUUGGUAAUCCAAACAUCGCUAGUUUUAGACUUUUAGUUGCUGAUUUCCUUAUCAAUUUGAUUUUCGCUAGGUGACGAUUUGAUCGCCCUGCUGCAGUGUAUUCUUCACGUGAUCGUCAUCGGGUGCGACUGCAGUAUGCGGAUACAUAAGGAAAGUAAAAUAAUAUUGUCAUAAGUGUAUCUAGUUGUAUAAAAAUAAAUGAUGGAACUAAAAAUAUAAAGAACUAUAGAUAGAAUUUGAUGUUCAAGUUUGUAAUGUACAUACAAGAUUACAAGCUUAACCAACGAAGAUCUACAUCAAGUGAAUGCCACAAUGUGCUUGCUCAUGUACUAAUUAUAUGACACCUAUCCCUUGGGCCGGCAAGGAACCACAUCCGCAUAUGCAGGGUCAUGGACCUUUUAGAAUGGUCUCAGGUCUACUCGAAUCUUAUGCAAGCUCAUUCGCAACCAUCUUAGACAUGAUCGGUUUCUCUUUAAUCAGAUCUUUGGGAGUUGUGUUUUUGUCACCUUUUGAUUCCAAUAUCUCGAUUACUAAAUCCUGUUGAAUUGAUGCGGACAGUCUGAAUCUUAAAUUUGAAGUACAAGUGACAAGAAAUCAUUAUGAAUGAGCUAGAGAAAUUUGUUUUUUUACCCUGCAAAAAUAGUGCUGGAUAAAUUUGGAUGUGACUCUAAUUCCAACAGGGAAUUUUCAAUUAUGUGCUAUUCACAAUACUUUGGAAAACUACGGAAUUUAUGCUUGAUUUUAUAAUUUUAACAGCUUGUCAAAAUCUCAUGUGCUCAUAUGUUCUCUUUUUUAAGUUUUCUAUAUCUAUUUUUGUUGUAGUGGAGGGUGCCAACAGAUCAACUUCUCUGUUAUUAUUUCCUGUUAGCUUGGAAAUUCAUUUGUUUUAAAAAACAAAGUAGGGGACAAAAGCUGCUACUAAAUUAAUUGUUUUUGGUUGACAAACAAACUUCAUGCAUGCAUAGAUUGUGAAUGAUCUGUCAUCCCAGGUGCACUCCAUCACAUAGAAUUCGAGUGCAAAAGGAUAAAAAAAUGAAAGUGUAACCGAAUGAGGCCCAAGUUUGUGAACUGCAAGUUUCUUACGGAUGCCCAUUUGAAAUUCAGUUUGCAUUCAUCUUCUUCUAAUGAAAUUAAUGUAGAGAUUUUAGAUCGGAUUGCACUAUCGUCGUUUUCUAUUUUAACUUGAGAUUCGCCCUUUUACAUUAUACAUCAGCUAGACAUGAGCUCGUCUUCAUUGUUCCAUUAAUCCUUUUACAAGACAGUGGAUCUAUAUCCAAGUCAUAUAAACUGCUAGGAAAUGAACUCAAUUCGUAUACUUAUGCUGCACGAUAAAUGCAGGUAUGUUAUAUUCUAUCAUGUGUCAACUUAUGUCCAACCUCUUGAAGGAGAACCUGAAAGUUAGAUUGACCCAUUGAAUUAUUCGCUCACUCUGACAUUGCAGAUACUGAAGAUAGUAGUAACUUAUUAAUAAUGCCCCAAUCUGUUAACAAAUUGCUGUAAUUUAUUAGUAGCUCUUAUUUCUUGGUGUUCGGAAGAAGCAAAGCAUCUGCCAUCGCUCUCCAUUUUUGACUUGCAACUACUGCUAUCACUAAGUUAAUGCCUCGAUGCCUAGUUUCUGCAUAAUAUGCUUCAUGGUAUUACAUUUCUACGAAUUCUUGUAUGUUGUUUCGAAACUUUGUUGAUUACACCAAAUUUUCAAUUAUGCACAAGCAUUCAAGGCAGAUAUAGAUAUAAGGGUGCGUUUGGUUCGCGCUAUCUUUUAAAGAUUCCUAGUAAUCCAAUGGGAAUAAAAAAAUAUGACGGUGUUUGGCUAAACGCACUAAGUAAUCUAGUUGGUAAUAUUGGAUUCACUUGGGAAUAAGAUUCAACCCAAAGUACUAAUCUCAUUCCCUUGAGGGAGGGUGGGUAUCCUCAUAUUAAUGGAUUGGGGUAAUCAUAAUAUGUCUAAUCUCUUUCUUUCUUCUUACCCGCCGGCUAGUUGAUAUUAUUUUUCUUUACACUCUAACCUUAUAUCUCUCUCUAAACUUAUUUUUCUCUCUUAAAUUUAACUUUUUUUUCUCUCUCUAAACUAAGCUUUCUCUCUCUCUCUCUCUCUCUUUCUAAAAUUUCAACUCUUUCACUCCCUCUAGUUUCGACUAUAUUUUUCUUUCUAUUUCUUUAAUUAUGCUUUCUCUCUCUAACUUAUACUCUCUCUCCUUUUUUUUAAAAAAAGAUGUUGAAACUUUUGAUAACAUUAUCUAAAAUUAAUUAAAUUAAUUAAUUAAUUAAUUGUAUAUUUUUUGUAAUAUUAAAUAAUAUGGCUAAUUAAUAUUAUCAUGCGAACCAAACGCAGGAAUUCCACAUUCUUAGUAAUAGGAUGAAUAGAAAUAAGAUUCUUGGAUAUCUUUUAUUCCUAGUAAUUUUUCAUAAUGCGAACCAAACGCACCCUAAAUGUCACUGCAUGUGUUCCUUCAUUACUAUUCUUAUGGAUCUUCUUCUUUAUGCAGGGCAUCCGAAGUCCUCUGCAUAUUGGUCUCGCCGCACAACUCAGUUCACGAUUUGCUGUGUAACAUUUCUAUCAGGAUAAAAUAUACAUGAAUUAUGAACAACUCCUUUCCGCUAAAUUCGUCUCAAUCUCACUGUGUUCUGUCAGCAUUUCUGCUGAAUGAUGUAACUUCGUCUUUUUGUGUUUUCUUUUCUUGAACUUGUUUCACUUAUUUAUGCGAUGCCGAUUUUCGGUAACAUUUUCUCGUUGGAAAUGUAAUUGCACUUCAAUCUUGCUUGAUCCUCGUAUGGCCCAGUUAUACGAUACUCGAGAUCUCGAGUUAAAAUUGUUGCCUUUUCUUUCAAGGCCUAUAAGGAUAACUCAUGAUUGUGCCGAUUCAAUCUUAGGCCCUACGAUUUAAGGGCUGUGGUAUGAGGUUGUGCCGAGUCUUUGUCUAACAUGGUGUAGAUACGUUACGUGGAAAAGGUAUAGAAUGCAGUAGUCAUAUUGUUGAUGUGGUGUUCCGAAUCAAUCAAAUUGUUCUUCUAGAGUUCACCCAUCUCAUCAUGGUUUUUAGAGAAUAUUUUUAUUAUACUUUUCUCUCUCAAAAAAAGAGAUACGAUUAGCUAGAUAUACGUAAUGUGUAGUUGCUAUAUAGCAGACUUCCUCCGUUGUAUGCCAUACUAUGCAUACUAUUAUUGGCAAAUAAAUAGUUUCCAAAAGAGCUCGAUAUUAUGUUUCGCUUGAUGUUGAGAAUUUCAAGUGCUCCAAAAGAAGUCAUAAUUCAUAAGCACCGAGUGUGAGAUAAAGAUGGUUGCAAGUGUAGAAGAGGACGCGACGAUGGUGAAAUUGGGUAGCCUUAAAAUAGAUUAAGGGUGCAUUAGGAUUACAGGCAAUCGUACCAGGAUUACUAUGUUUAGUUCAUCCGCUAUGUAAUCUAGUCAUUAAUAUCAUUAAUGUAGCAUUACAAAUCGAGCAGGAUUACAUUAAAAAUAUUAACGAGAAUGAGAUUAUCUUGUAUUACUGAAAGCUGGUAAUGUAAAAUAACAAUUUUACCCCUCUAACUCCCAAAACCCUUUCAUACGUCAUUUAAAAAAAUUUAAUUUAAAAUUUUGAAUUGUCAACUUUUAAAUUUUAAAUUUUUAAUUUAAAUUUUUAAUUUUUAAACUUCAAAUUUAAAUUUUACAUUUUAAAUUUUAGAAUUUAAAUUUUAGAUUUUAAAUUUUAAAUUUUAAAUUUUAAAUUUUAAAUUUUAAAUUUUAAAUUUUAUUUUUAAAUUUUUAAGUNUAUUUUAAUUUUUGAAUUUUAAAUUUAGAUUUUUAAUUUUUAAUUUUUAAUUUUAUAUUUAUAUUUUGAAUUUUAAAUUUAUAAAUUUCAUAUUUAUAUUUUAAAUUAAAAUAUUAAAUUUAUAUUUUUGUUCAAAUUUAAAAUUUAAAAUUUAAAAAAUUAAAUUAUUCAAAAUAAAAUUUAGUAAAAAAAUAUUAUUUGUAAAUAGUAAAAAAAAUGUUUACAAAAUAUCGUUAAGGGCAAUUUUGGAAUAAACUAUAUUUUAUUUUCUAGAUUACUCAAUUUUAUAGACAGAACUAAACAUAUUAAUACUAUAAACACUGGAAUCCAAUAUUAUAUUACUGUAUUAAACCAAACGCACUAAUACAGCAUAACUAGUAAUCUCUUUUAAAAAUCCAAGAUAUCUGAAUAUAUCGAAAUACUCUGUAAUAUUAUAUAACUUAAACCAAACACGUCCGUAAUGUUAGAGACUAUCAGUGCAAAUAAUUUGGGUAGAGGCAUGUUGAUAAAAGAAAUAAAAAUAAAAAUUUACAGAACUUAUUUGAACCAUAAAUUAUUUUAGGCUUAGUUUGUUACUGAGGCCUAUCUAACGCUAUUAGAUAAAAUAGAGUUGAAGAAAAAGCAUAUAACUAUAUGCUAGAAGCGUUCUCCGGUGGAACCGCAGAAAAUAUAUCGUAACCGACUCAUCGCGAUAUGCGGAACGUAAUAUUACAUACGGAAAUAAACAAGGUAUUUUUCUAACGUACUUUCUCACCGCACGUAACGCAAUUCCCCCGCAAUUCCAAAUGAAGCCUUAAUAGUUACUCCCACUUUUAAAAUUUUAAUUUUACUAACAAGCUUUAAAAAUUUUUGAAUCUAGGUCAGUCAAAGUUGUUGAUUGGCUCAUAAUCGAAGGACUUAUUUUUUAAAAAAGUGAGGAGCCCAUGGCUCCCAUAUAAAUUUUAAGAAAAAUUUCAAAUACAACCCUGUGGGUUCGCACUGUCUCACUUUGUUUGUUACCUUUUGUAUCCGUGGUUUUAUUUUUUUUUUUUUAUUAUCUCUUUUAUUAUCUAUUUUGUUAAAUUAGUGACAAAGUGAAUAUUUGAUAAAUCUAAGUGGGAUAUUUGAAAUUUUUUUGUAUAUAAUUAAACGAAAUAUUAAUAGAGGGGCUGAUGAAAAAAAAAAUAAAAAUUACAUGAUAUUAGAUUGAUAUGUUUUAUAUGAUAGAAUACUAAAGUGAAAAAAUAGGAAACCAUAAAAUUGGUUUUAUGUAUAAAGAAUAAAGAAUUCACGUGAAGGUUGGGGAGGAAUGGAACGGUGGAGGAAUCAACCCGUGCCAGAAUUGAUCCGGGUCAGACCAUCUAUCCACCAACCCGUGCCAGAAUUGAUCCGGGUCAGACCAUCUCGUUAGGCCCAUCUCCGGAGGAAUCCGAAUCCGAUACUGGCAACCGGAACUUCUCAUAAAGCGAUCACGACAUUUAUUUAUUAAUUAAUACACCCAUAAAAAUUCCAUACGAAGAAAAGGCCACGUGGUUCGACCACCGUUGGGUUUCUGUAGAGAGUUUAAUGCGAGCAAAACAACAACUUCGCCUUCAUCGGCGCUCCGCGGGGAUGCGCGAUCCAAUCGCACGAUAACGACAAACAAGUGCGGCAGCAAAAAGCAUAAAAAGGGCGACGAGGGGGCUCGGGGCCAUGGCCGCUUCCCGCUUCAAGGUGCUCGGGGCGCUCGCGAUCGCCGCCUCGGGCGGCGCGUCGUGGGCGGCGGCGGAGGCGAGCGGCGGCGGCGGCGGCGGCGGGGGAGGCGGAGGAGACGGAGGUUUGAAGGAGGCGAGGCGGCGGAUCGCCGAUCCGGCGGCGGCGGUGCCGGCGCGAGGGCCGCAGGCGGCGGCGCUGGAGGGGGCGAGCGCGGCGAGCCCCCUCGACGUGCUCGUCGUCGGCGGCGGCGCCACCGGGUGCGGCGUCGCCCUCGACGCCGCCACCCGCGGCCUCCGCGUGGGGCUCGUCGAGCGGGAGGAUUUCUCCUCGGGCACCUCGUCCAGGUCCACCAAGUUGAUCCAUGGCGGUGAGGGCUCCAAACUCUCACUCUCACUCUCUCUGCCUCCCCUCAUCCACUCCAUUUUUUAGAUUAUUUUUGGAGGCUACUUUGUAUCUUUUCCCUCGGAAUCAUCUCUCCUGUGUUCUACACAUAGUGUUUGUUUUAGUUGUACACUACGUAAUUGUUACGGUUAAUUACACUUUUGGUCCUCAAAUUAUUAAGGCGAGUGAUGAUUUCGUCCUUAGAUUUUAAUUUUUUGCAAUUUCUACCUCAAAUUUAAACUUUCUAAAUUGACCUAAUUUAGCUGACUAACUACUGAUAGCAGGCUGAAGGGGAAAUGAUGUGACCUUUUAAUUAUUAUUGCAUUAUCAAUCAUAACAAUGCCACAUCACUUUUAUAUUAGCUACGCGUUAGUAUUUAAUCAAUUAAAUUAGAUUGCGGAAGUAAAUCACAACUGCUUAGAAAAUUUGAAUUAAAAAUUAGAACUUACUAAAAUUUAACUAUCAAAGUGUCACUUGUAGCUUGAAAAGACCAAAAGUGUAAUUUAGCCUAGUUGUUAGAAUUAGUGCUUGAGAUACUUUGUUGUGCUUGAAAAAUAGCUUGCUUGCUGCUAAAUAAUGUGAAACAACUUUUUUUUGUAAAGAUAACUUAUCAGAGAAACAGUAUUUUUGUAUUUUAUAUUCAACCAUUCCUGUUAUGUCUGGGCUUGAGACUUUUUAAUAGGCUUAAGGCGCGGACUUGAAUUAAAUUGGAGAAAAUUUAAGAGCAUGGUGGGAGUUGAACUCAACAUGUUUUGCUCUGAUAUCAUGUUAAAUUGUGUAAAAUAACCGUUAUGUUUCAAAAGCGUUAGCUAGAAUUUGAACUGAUGACCUCUUGCUUUGAUACCGUGUUAAAUAGCGUGAAGCAACCAUUAUUCUCCAAAAGCUUAAGUUAUUAAAGAACAAUGUUUUUAGUAUUUGUAUCCAACACUUGCAUUUGAUCACACCCUGAGAAUGCACCUCUUUCUGCAGUUUGCAUCACUCAUCUUCAAUUCGGAAUCAAAAUUCUUUUGAAGGUAAUGCCAUAUGUGAUUGAAUUAGUAGUAAUAACUUGGAUGUCUAGUUGCCCACCCAAUGUUGCAGUUGAUCCAAACUGCAUACUCAUUGACUAGUAUUACUGCUCUGGAUACCUAGUUUGCAUUUUAUUAGUAUGUCGCUACAGUCAUAAUGCUUUUUGAAUAGGCUACUUUUAAUUCUCUUGCAUUUGUAUGUUCAGGUGUUCGGUACUUGGAGAAGGCAGUGUUUAAUCUUGAUUAUGGGCAGUUGAAACUUGUUUUUCAUGCACUUAGGGAACGCAAACAGGUUAUCGACAAUGCUCCACACUUAUGCCAUGCUUUACCAUGUAUGACACCUUGCUUUGACUGGUUUGAGGCAGUAUACUAUUGGAUGGGUUUAAAGUUAUAUGAUCUCGUUGCUGGUCGAAGGAUGCUACAUUUGUCAAGAUAUUAUUCUGCAAAUGAGUCAAUUGAACUUUUUCCUACCCUGGCCAGAAACGGUCAUAACAAAAGCCUUAAGGGGACGGUGGUUUAUUAUGAUGGACAAAUGAAUGACUCUCGGCUGAAUGUUGGAUUGGCUUGUACUGCUGCAUUAGUAGGUGCAGCUGUACUUAAUCAUGCAGAAGUGAUAUCUUUUAUUAAGGACGAGUUUGGUGAGCGGAUUAUUGGCGCUCGCAUCCGUGAUACACUAUCAGGUAGAAGAAAGCAGGUCUUUCCUCCUCUUCCUGGAAGCUUAGUAUUUACAUGAUAUCAGUUCAUAUGCAGCAUAAAUUGGUCAUAUAUCGAAUGCUGUUCUGUCUUUGCAAAUAAUUAUUUCCUGGAGAAUACCCUGUGUAGAACUUAUCUAGCUCCAUGUAGGCAGAGAUGAUGCAAAUUUAGACUAAAGCUCUCUACAAGAAUGAUCAACAGUUACUAGUACCGGCAAUCAACACUCCUACUGUUUGCUUCUUGUUAACAAACUCUUAGUUGUUGAAUAUAAAAUGGCCAGAACGAAAAUUCAACUUGAAUUGCUGUCCACGUUCUUUCUGUAAUUACCAUUUUUUUGGCUUCUUGAUGCAUAGCAAGAUGUUUACAUUCUUUUCUGGAUUCUAUAUGGUUUUUUUUAUGUAGAUCCAAUUAAAAGAAGUAGAAUCAUUGAUUUUGAAUGGUUAAUUAUGAUUUUGAGCCAUUCAUUCUUUUUAAAUGGUUUGCAUAUAAGUAUGUUAUAAAACUAACAUAUAUACUUACUUUUAGCUAAUUGGGCCAAUUGAUUUUUAUUUGUCAUGCAUCUUAAGAUUCUAAACACUUGUCAAUGGACAUCAGGUAAAGAGUUUGAUACAUUUGCAAAAGUUGUUGUCAAUGCGGCUGGACCAUUUUGUGAUUCAGUAAGGAAAAUGGCUAACAAGGAUGCAAAACCGAUGAUCUCUCCAAGUAGUGGUGUUCAUAUAGUUCUUCCCGACUACUAUUCUCCUGAAGGGAUGGGUCUGAUUGUUCCAAAAACUAAGGAUGGCCGUGUUGUGUUCAUGUUGCCCUGGUUGGGAAGGACAGUGGCAGGGACAACUGAUUCUAACACCGCAAUAACCAUGUUCCCAGAGCCACAUGAAGAUGAAAUACAAUUCAUCCUGGAUGCCAUAUGUGAUUACCUUAAUGUUCAGGUUUGAACUUAGUUCCUUUGUUUUUCCCUUAUUUCUUCACCACUCUCUUCCUCAUGUUUACCUUUUGUUUGUGUAUUUUGUUUUUUUAUGUAAUGAAAUGUAAUUGGCUCCCUGUUUUUGAGUUGCCUUCUCUAUCUACCGUGAUGAUCUAUCUUGUCCCCUGUUCUUGAGUUGCCUUCUCUAUCUAACAUCAUGAUCUACUUGUCAAUUUAUAGUUAAUUUCCAGUGUAGGCUAGCCUACUUAGCCCAAAAACCUUGCCAUUAUGCGGAAAGCCCAAAAACCUUGCCAUUAUGAGGAAACAAAGUUUAGGUAGUACUGUAGUAGUUGAAUGAAAUAAGCUGUCAUAUUUACUCAUCAACAUACAACUACAAGUGUUGUUUCCAGAAGGUCUGAGAAGCAUGCCAUGCAUCGAUCAAUCUCAGAAGUCCUAGGAUGUUUUUAACGCAUUGGUUGUGUUCACAGUAUCGGCUUGCAAUAUUAUCAGAAACUUGUAGAAUUAUAUAUGCUGUGCAGUAGUAGAUGCAAUCUAAUUUAGGUAUAUGCUGCAUAAUGCAUACUAUGCUUUAAUAUUAUAUUAUCAAAUUUUGUGUUGCUUGCAGAGUAUACUAUCUUAUAAGAAAGGAAUUUCCAGAUUAUCAAUAGAACAACAGUCCAUAAUGAUAUAUUGAUGUUGAAAAAAACGGUGAGUGAUCUUUGUGCAUUGUUUUCGGAUGGAACUCUGUAGUUGAAAUAUGUAGACAAGUAAAUUUAAUUCGUUCAUCAUACUAUGAAGCUCUAUACUUUAUUUAGAUUAUCCUUAGCCUUUUUAACAUGUAACCAACUUUGGAUUUGAACUUAUCCCGGAUAACCAGCUAAAACAAUCUUACAUAGAGAUUUUCUAAAUAAUAAAAAUCUCAAAAUAAAUGUAAAUAAAACCAAAUAAGAGGAUAGCUAAAAAUCCUCAUUUAACUAACUAAAAGAGACGAUUAACUAAUCUUAUUACAAUGACGAUGAAGUCAAUCGGUUUAAAUCGAUCAACCUAAUUGGGUCAGGCCAGUUCUACAUCACUUAGUCCUUAGGGAGUGCUAUUAUGGAUUAACACUACUGCUGAUGCUCAAGACCCAAAAUAGCUCUGUCCUUCUAAAUUUAGAUUUGUUUGGCUGGUUAAAGAAAGGAAGCUUGUGGUCUUUUCCUAUUGUUGGGAUAUUAUUUAAUUGUUUACUAUUAUUAAUUGGUUGAUGUUUGCUUGUGACGUCCAUCGAUCCUUUGUUACUCUAUUUCCAUCCCUAGGACUACUUUUAGAGGCCUUCACAAUGCUUACAUCGAGGCACUCUACCCGUUGAGUGGUAGUAUUUUUCUCAUAAGCGAACCUCUCUUUACCUGAUUUUGUUUUGAUAAAGAAGUAGGCAAUUGUGUCGAACAUGUUGAUAUGAGUUUCAACAGCUGGAUUAUAUCUGUUGAACCUUCUCAGUAUUGAAUUGUGCACUAGCCAGCCUUGUACUGGGGCUGAAAUACGCGAUUGAUUUCAGCAUUAAUCUUGUAGGAGCCAAUUCUUUACCUCCCUAUUGUGAAACUUUUAGUUCGGCAUUCCUUCAGACGUCUGUUUAUUAAAGAUUCUCAUAGAAGGGCUUUAGUUUUGUUGGUUUGUAACAUUCUGGGAGUACUCUAUUCCUCUUCCAGAUGGCUAGACUGGCUUUGUGCCGCUUGAGUCAGAAAGGAAGAGAUUUGGUUGAAUAGAGGUAACAUUCUUGGAAUACUUUACAUUCCUCUUCCAGAUGGCAAGGCUGGCUUUGUGCUGCUUGGGUCAGUAGGGGUUUCUUCUGAGGAGGAGAGAUUAGGUAGGAGGCAGGACUAGGUUAGUUAUACUUGUCAGUCUUAUUGGGAGUGAUGGAGAUAUCCAUGAGCUCUGACUCAUAAUCAUCUUCCAUUACCAUAUGGAGAGGGAUUUGUCACCCUUACCCAAUGGGAAUGAGGAUUUUGUGGGAACAUGAAAUUCCCAACUUUCAAGAAUCCUAUUAUGGGAUGCACAUGAUAAUAUUGUUGGAUUCCAGUAAUAAAUGGUAAUUUAAAAAGAUUAUACCAAAUGCCUCCUAACGGUGAUAGUGCAUCCCCAUGAUGUCGCAUGUAAGAGGUUCUUUGAGAGAAGAGAAGCAAUUGCUAGACUUCGUAGAAGAUGUUGGGGAUGUAUUUCUCUUUUUUUGGGCCACACAAUAAAUCAGAAGGUCAAUAGCAUAUCAAAUAAAAUCUAUAGAUACAUUAAAGUGCUUAUUAACGAUAUAAUGUGUCAAUGAUAUGCUGAUUCUUGGAUGUCUGUUGGUCAGGUGAGAUUAUUUUAUUUGAGUUUCUUAUGAGUUGGUCUAAUUUCUUCCAUCACAGUUAUGGGUUAAAUUACUUAUUAACGAAUAACAAUGUAAUGUGUCAAUGAUAUGCUGAUUUUUGGAUGUUCGUUUUGGAAGGUGAGAUUGUUUUAUUCGAGUACCUUAUGAGCUGGUCUAAUUUCUUCCAUCAGCUUAUAGCCUUUUGCCUAUUUCUGUUGAAGUGGUGAACAUCUACAUAAAUGGACAUUUAGCAGCACUAGUUCCAGAACUGCUUUUUCCAAUCAAGAUACUAUUUAGGGCACAUGUAUUAUGUCUAAUGCAAUUAUGUCUAACGCAAUCCAUUAUUUUUCUGUCACUUUUUGUGUAUUUGAAUAUUUGUUUUACAGAUUUUACAUAACAAUGACAUAAUAAUAGUUCAUCUCCCGUGUUGUUUCAUGUUUCUCCCUCUUUGUUGUAGUAUAUGUUCCAUACGUGAAUAUGAGUUACUUGUCUGGCUGAUGGUAAAAGACGGUGUGCCAUGAUGUGCAUUGUAAUUUUGAUUUGUUCUGGUGGAUAUCUCAGGUAAGGCGAUCAGAUGUUCUUUCUGCCUGGAGUGGUAUACGUCCAUUGGCUAUGGACCCAUCGGCAAAGAACACCGAGAGUAUUUCUAGAGAUCAUGUUGUAUCUGAAGAAUAUCCUGGUUUAAUCACAAUUACUGGUGGAAAAUGGACCACUUAUAGAAGGUAAAAAUCUUAAUUAGGGUCUCUUUCAUUUUUUUUUAUUUUAAGUGAUUAUCAUUUUUAGUUGGAACUCUUUCAAAAUCUUAAUUAGGUGGCUCACCUUAUGAUUACAAUAUCAGCAUAAAUUUUGAAGUAUGAUGUGAAUCAUCAUGUGUCAUCCUAGUCUAAAAGUUUGUUGUUGCCAUUUUGCAGAUCUUUAUCUUCCUUUUCCAAAAUAUGUAAUGCGUGUUGAUUUGUGGUUAUCUUAGUGUUCAGUUUCAUUUUAUUAUGACGGGUCAUUUAAAUGCCGACAUUUUCACAUUCCUGAUGAAUCAAUAUUCUAUACAGCAUGGCAGAAGAUGCGGUUGAUGCAGCUAUCAAAUCAGGGAAGUUGAAGCCUGCUAAUGGCUGUGUGACUGAUCGCCUGCGCAUUGUCGGUGGAUAUGGAUGGGAGCCUUCUUCAUUUACCAUCCUUGCUCAGCAUUAUGUUCGCAUGAAGAAGACACAUGGUGGAAAAGUUAUUCCUGGUGUAAUGGACAGUGCUGUUUCCAAGCAUUUGUCUCAUGCAUAUGGGAUUUUGGCUGAACGAGUAGCUACUAUUGCUCAGGUUGGGUUUCUUUGGACCUCAUUUGCACAUAUUCUAAUAAAAGAAGAACAUCCUACAUGUUUUCUUUUGCCAUGGCUCUUUUUUAUUCAUAUGAGAGUUGACAUAAUUUUCUGUUCAUGCCCAGUGCACUGAUUGGUUGUUGCAUUGAAAAGCAUGCCGAGUUAGCUAAGUUGUAGGUGAUGUACAAGUUCAAUACACCUGUUUGUUUCAUAAAAAACUCUUUAAGUGAGUUUAUUGUGAGAACUGAAAUGUGCAAAUUUGCUACCUUUCAAGUUUCAACCUCUUGUAAAGAUUUUGUAAGGAAUGACGAGAAGAGGCUCUUGCAGGUAACAAAAGAUGCUGAAUCAAAACCAAGGCUGAUUAUAUUGGUUUCUUUAGAUGCUGGGUGCUCUUUGCAGCUGCAUGCACCGUAACCACAAUCCCUUUAGGAUGCAUUGAUGUUGUAGAGAUGUCUUUAAAGAACGUAUUGAGGUUUAGGCAUGAACUUGCGGAAGUCAGAAUUCUCGAGUCUAACUGAAAGACGGAACUAAGUAGAAUUCCCCAGCCUAACUGAAUGCUGAGGGAUUUGAUGGAAAGCUGCUAUCUGGCGGUUUGUGAACUUGAUUGGUCAGACCAAUCAUUGUUCUACCAGAAGAAUGUGUGGAAGUAAAUGAAAGUUAAAUAGUUUUGUCUUAAGUUGACAGCUCAUGGUCUAUUAUGGGACAAAAUAUCUACUAAUUUAACAUGGGUAGUAACUUAUGUAAAAGAUUUAUGAUUUAUUCAAGGUUUGAUGACUGCACUGGGAUCUAGAGGAUUAUAAUAGCUUUCGCCGAAUGAUUUGAAUGAAGAUGAAGUAUUUCUAGGCUACGGCCUAGUAACUGGUAUAGUAUGAUUUCCAUCACGUGAUAAAACUUAUGUGCGUUACCCUUUAGCGCAUAUCCUAGACUAAAAUCCAAGUUUUCUUUUUUUGCUUUACUAUUUAUGGUUACUAGUCAGUAUCACUGAAGAAUCUACAACUUUGUUAAACAUUGUGAACACCUUUGCUUGCUUACGAGUACAUUACUGGGAUAACACUAAAUAUUAUGCUAUUCUCUUUGAUCUAUUAGCAUUUCAAAUUCUCUUUAUCGAGUUUGGCGUCACUCCCAGUAGUGCUAGAUAAUUAGCUUCAUUUCCGUGCAUAAUUUGCUUACAUUUCUGUUUUGUAGAAUGAAAAUCUAGGAAAGCGACUUGCUCAUGGAUACCCGUUUCUGGAAGCCGAGGUUGCAUACUGUGCUCGUAAUGAGUAUUGCGAAUCUGCUGUGGACUUCAUUGCUCGGAGGUCUCGUCUUGCUUUUCUUGACACUGAUGCGGCGGGGCGAGCAUUGCCCCGCGUUAUUCAGAUUUUAGCUGCUGAACACAAAUGGGAUAAGGCCAGGCAGAAGCAAGAAUUGCAGAAAGCUAAAGAGUUCUUGGAAACAUUCAAGUCCUCCAAAAAUGCACAAUUCCGGGAUGGAAAACAUAUUGGUAAGCAUUAUCUCCAGAUCUAAAUUUUGGAAUUUGGAUCAUAUGGAAACAAUUGCCCAACCAUUGAAAAUUUUAAUUUUACCAUCGAACAUUUUGAUCAUUCUUAUUUGAAUCAUUUGAUGGCUCUGCGAAAUUGUUGCCUGCACUCAAUGCACUCUGACAUCUAUCCACCCUCCAUCCUAUAUAAAUAGUUCAAUCUCUACCUGACAAUAAGUUAAGAGUUUAUCUACGUAAAAUUGGAUGAUCAAACUAAAAGCUUGAUGAACAAUGGUGGGUGUGCGGAUGCAUUGGGUGCAAGCAAUUAUUUCUCAAGAUGCAAAUCGAACAAAUUAAAACAGAAGUCAGUGAAAUCAGAACUAUCGGAGGGUGGGUAGUCGUUACCAAAUGACCCAAAGUUCAAGUUAAUUCAGCAGGCUCUUACCUUCUUGUUUUUCUUUUAGGGUAAAAUGUAUAGAUAGAGACUCUGUGAACUUCAUCUCUUUUGCAAAUAGACCUUAACUAAAGUUAUUAAUUAUACAAUCAUUUUGGUCGUAUAUAAUGCAUAUAGUUUUGGAAAGCUUUUAACUUCAGGCCACUGAUUUGCAAAACAGCGGAAGUUCAAGUGGUCUCUAUACAUUUUACCCUCUCUUUUAUGUUGUUUGGAUCUUGCUUAUAUUUUUCAUUUUAUUUUGUAGGGAUUUUGAGUUAAAUAAUUUUUGAGGGACAACUCAAUAUACAUUCCCCUAAUAUAAAUUCGAUCUAACAAAAAAAAGUGGUAUAUGAGUAAUUAAGCUCCUUUUGAUUCUGGGGACACCACUGCUUCCUACACUUUUUCUUAUGUUACCUGCUUUACUUAAAGGCAGGGUGCAGCUGAGCAUCUGUGAGAACCUCUUUUGUAGCUUCCAAAUUUCAUAUCCAAAUAAAACAUUUAUUUAUAUGUCAGUUAAGCACAUAAACCACUCGGGGUACAGUGAUUCAUAGUUACAUUUUUGCUCCUCUUUUUUUUUUAUUUUGUGUUUAGCCUCCUCUUAUUAUUAUUAUUAUUAUUAUUUGUAAAUAAUAAAUUUAUAUUUGCAAGAAUGACUCUUUCAUUGUUACGCAAGCGUCAUAGCGGCAAGUUGAACAUGGUAAUUUAUUUAUCGUAUUUAAACACGGUAAAUUGAUUUGCUAUAUUCUCUUUAACUUGGUCUAUGUGCUGCUAAGGUAAAAAGAAUAUGGUACAGCGCGCGCUGCUAAGACAAAGAAAAUAUGGUAAUUUUUUUAUUUUGUUCGCUUGAAAUUUCAACAUGGUUUUUGCGUGGCGAGAAAAAAGUCAUUUUUAUAAAUAUAAAUUUGCUGGGAUUAUUUAUAAAAAAAAAAAAAGUUUAAGAGGGGCUGCAUGUAAAAAAGCCCUCUUUCAUACAUAUAAAUAAAUCGAAACACUCAUUAAUCUACGACUUUAAACCCCUAGAACGCAAUUGUUAGGGCCCGUAUAACGCAAUUGUUGUCUAUUUGGUUGGAUAUAAUUGUAAAUAUGGGAUAGUUAGAGAAAAAUACAGUUGAAAAUAUAGCAAUUAUAAUUAUAUGUAUCUUAUUAGAUUGGAUUUAGCAGAAAAUUCUAUAAUUAUGAAUAAUAUAUUUAGCUGCACUUUGCUCGAAAUUGUACUUAUAAAUUUUAUCAUUUUAAAUAUAGGAUAGUGAGAUUACUCCUCAAGUAGAAGAAAAAUUAUUUUUUAUUUAAAAGAUAAUUUGGGAGGUGAGUUUAUUUUUUAUUCUAAGUUCUUCUCUCUCCACUUGUUAAAAUUGAAACUACAGCUAAAUUAGGCGUAUUUUCAACUGCACAGUGAAGCCAUUUUAUGCAGUUCUAGCCGUUAGAAUUCAAAUGCAUCAAAUGAAAAAAAAAACGUAUUUUAUUUAAGAUUUCAUUUUUUUUAACUACUGCCGAAUAAAACUACGGUUAAUUUGGAUAUAGUUUGUUCUACCGUAGGUAAGGGUGUGUUUGGUUCCAUGUAAAAUUAUGAAAAAAAAAAAUUCGGUGAAAAAUUUUUUUUUUAGUGGAGAACAAAUUUUACGUUCUUUAGUGUUUGGCUUGGGAAAAAAAGAAAAUAAAAAGUUUUUCAUUACGAUUGUUUGGUUGAGAAAAAAAAAAAAGAAAAACUAUUUAAUAUAUUUUUAUUAUAUAUAUUAUUAAUAUAUAACAAUUAACUACACUAUAUAUAUUUAUUAUUAUAAUUUAUAAUUAUAGAUUAAAAUUAUAAUAAACAUAUUACAUAAUAUAUAUAUAUAAGUGUUAUAUAUCUUGGGAUAUUAAUAAAUAAUUACAAAUUUAUAAAUAAAAUAUUAUAUAAUAAUAUCUCUAUAUAUAAAUAAAAUACCAUAUAUAUAUAUAUAGCGUAAAUCCGCUGCGAUGAGCUGCAUUUUUUCCUCCUCUUUUUCGUUUCCGUCGCUCUUGCGAGAAAAACGAAAGGGAGAACUUUCCUCCAAAUCUGUAAAAUUGUUUUUUACGGAAAAUUUUUGUACGUCGAACCAAAUGAACCGUAAACCAUUUUUCUACCAAAAAGUUUUCUUUUCACCUACUUUUACAUCAAACCAAACGCACCCUAAGCCACGUCUUGCAGCUCCAAUUUCAAAAUGAUAAUGCAGUAAUUUGAUCAAUGGAAUCGGCUUCGCAUGUAGUUAGAUCUGUAAUACAGUAGCAACUACGUGCAACCAGACACAGCCUCCAUUCACUAUCCCUCGGACAUUUCUCAAUGAUUCAGAUGCUCCAAUAUUACUUUCUGCUCAUAGUCAAGAGAGGUUUUCAGAGGACAAGACUGCAUGCAGAACUUUCAAUUAUGACGGCCGUCGUAUCUUCUAAAUAGGACGGAAGCUAGAAUGCGAUUUCGUAUGCAGAAAUUUUUUGUAUACAAAAUAAUAUUGCAUAGCACAUUUUAGGAGAGACGCAUGUGGACGCCUCACCUCCAAUAACACAUUUAUUCUUAGAGUGCUGCUACAGGUAUUCCAGAAGAUACUCUACAAGAUUGUUGAUGACAUAGCGUUAUUAUUAUUAUUAUUACACUCUAAAUGUUAAUUACUAAUUAAACACCAACAUCAUUAUCUUAAAUUUUAAAUCCUAACUCCUAAAAUCCUAAUCACUCCAUAUGCGGCGGUCAAAAAUGUUCCGUAUGUUAUAACUACUAAAUAUGCUCUUUUUUUUAAAACAGGUUACAUUGAAACUGAUCAUAUUUGAUGAAUGAGCAAAAUUUGUAUGCCGCUUAUAAAGUCUGCCUUAUCCCAAAUCUCAUGCUGUCAGAUUUGUUGGUGUGAAAAAAAAAAAAAAAAAAAAAAAAAAAAAAAAAAGGAGAAAAGGGCAGCCGCCCAACGAUUUUGUUCCCCAGGUGGUAAUCCUCUCAACAAAAACUAAAUAACAACUUAUAAAAUUUAUCGAGUGGGCUGGUAUGCUUCUGGAAGUACGGAGCCCUCCAUUUUUUAAGUUGUUUUCGAUGUUCGGACUUUCGAAUCGACGAUCGGCUCCGUUAGAGUUGAUCCAGAGUAUUUGAAGUACCUAGAAAAUAAAUUUUGCGAUUUUUCGAUAUCAUUUGCUUAGUGAUCGAAGUGGCUCAAAAUCAAUAAUUUUAAAGGCCGUAAUGAGCCGUUUGCAAGUUUAACGGUGGAAAAAUAUCCAAAUCACACGAAAUUUUGAUAGAAAAUUCUUUAUACCGUAUAAAACAAGAUCAAUAGCUUUGAUCUAAAAUUUUAAUGUCAUAUCAUCAUAUUUUGUAAGAUUUUUAUUUUCAGCCGUUGAUUUUGAGCCACUUCGAUCACUAGGCAAAUGAUAUCGAAAAAUCGCAAAAUUUAUUUUCUAGAUACUUCAAAUACUCUAGAUCAAGUCUAACGGAGCCGAUCGUCGAUUCGAAAGUCCGAACAUCGAAAACAAUUUGGAAGCACGGAGCGCUCUGUACUUCCAGAAGCAUUCCAGACGCACUCAAAUUUAUCUAAACUAUAAAUAAUUUUGAACUGACUAUAUAAUCAUUCAAAUUUUUAAUUUUAUUAUCUAAUCUUUCAAUUUAUUUAAUUUAAAUCGGUCAAAAAUAUUGUGGUUUUAAAAUUUAAAUUAAUUACUUACUUUGGUGAAUUUACAGUUGUGCGAAUUGCACGAGUAUGCUAACUAAAUAUGUAAAGAAAAACAACGCAUUCAGAUUAAUUUUGAAAUCAAAGUUUUGUUAACUAGCUCAAGUCAAGUAAAUUGAAAGGUUGGGUAACCGAUCCAAACUGGUCUAUAGUUGAAGUAAGUUAUGUACGUUUUUACCCAGAAACUAUUACUUGCGUCUAAGGAUAAGCAGUGUUCGGGUAAACCCAAAUUGCCAAACCUAACUGAUCUAGUUCGAUAAAUAAGACUGGUUUAUCGGUUUAAACGGUUCGGUUUGAUCUAUCAAAAUUUCACGUGAUUUGGAUAUUUCUACACCGUUAAACUUGCAAACGGCUCACUACGGUCAUUGAAAUUUGUUGAUUUUUAGCCCAUUCGAUCACUAGGCAAAUGAUAUCGAAAAAUAAUAAAAUUUAUUUUCUAGGUACUCCAAAUACUCUAAAUCAAGUUUAACGGAGUCGAUCGACGAUUCGAAAGUCGCAACAUUGAAAACGAACUGGAAGCAUGGAAGGCUCCGUGCUUCCGAUAGCAUAGUAGCCUCACUCUCUCUCUCUCUAUAUAUAUAUAUAUUAACUUUUAAAAUAUUUUAAAAUGUAAAAUAAAAUUUUCCAUGGAGUCUAACAAAAUUUUUUACUAUUAUUUUGUGUUAGUUUUUUGAGUAUAAAUUAAAUUUGAUUAUACAUGGUUUGAAUUCUUUAAAUCAAACAAAUCUAAAUUGUUAGCUAUAUUAUAAUCCUUAAAGCCCAAUUUAGAAAGGCCGAAACCGAUCAAACUGACCAAAGCGAACAAAAAAAAAAAAUUCGAUUCGAUUGGUUUUCGGUUUGAUCCAAAAAAAAAGUUAUAAAGCCGAAAAAUUCAGUUCGGGUUAACAUUCAACUAAAAACUGACUAGCUACGUCUUAUACACCACACUCCUAAAAAUGUAAAAUAAUGAUAAUAGUUUAAGAAUUAUAUAGUUUGAUGUGCUUUUUUUUAUAUUUUAAAACUGUAUAUAUUAAAUCAAAUUUUACAACUAUUUUAAACUUGUUUAAGUAUUGUUGUUGAUCAUGUUUAUCAGAUUAAUUUUAAUUUUAAAGAUACUGUAGAACGCAGCGGAAGUAUUCGUUCGUACCUUUUUGCGGAAGCGAUUCGCGCAACAACGCGAUGAGCCUGGAUCGUUUAGAUUGAUUCACGUGUCCUCGGAUCGUCCUUGAAUAUCUUCUCACGCUCCAAACUCGCGGUGGAUCGAACUACAAACGAGCGCGAUCACAAAUCCACCGUACAAGUCCCUCUAGAAUAAUAGGUCAAUGGAGGAUGUGGUUUCUCUCUAUUAUUUUCUUAUUCUCUCUCUUUUUCCGUUCUUUCGUGUAUAUAACGUUAUGUGGGAUCGCCCGCAUAUUUAUAAGGAAUUCCAAAAUCCUAAUGGCGUUAGAGAUAAGGCCAAAUCGGUUAUUAAUUGUUAUCCUAAUAUGACUAGGAUUUAUCUCUAACUAACUUUCCAAUUUGAAAGCGAGAUUAAUUCUAAUCCAAUUAGAUAACAUAACAUCCGUCGGAUCGAACCCGCUUAUGGGCGUACCCGAUUCGAUUUAACCGAAUGCCAACAGAUACUGAUCAUCAAAACUAAAGUACAGUUUAUGAGGCAUGCUGAUGAUGAUCAUCAAACAUCUUAACCUGGUGGUUUUAAUAUUUUGGAUGGUGGUUAGAUACAAAAAAUUUUAAAAAAAUAUAUAUUAGGGUUUGAGACUUAAAGUAAUUCUAAAAUAAAUGACCAUGAAAAAUAAAAUUUAGGAUUAAUUGCAUACCUCUUCCUCUGAACGCAUCAAAUAUUCAACUUUUCAUAUUUAUUCCUAUAAAAAUCCUAACGUUUUCAAAUAUAUCCCUACUGUAAGGAUCCAUUAGAAAAAUAUUGUUAACAAUAGGUAAAAUACUUAACCCUAAUUAGUGAAUGAGAUAAAUUGACUUUUUUACUCUUUUUAUAUUAUUUGUAACGGCAGAAAGAAAGAAGAUGAUCAUUGGAGAUUUUUAGAAGGAUUUUUUUGCAUAAUUCUAACGGUUGGGACUUUUGAAAUGAUAUAUUUAUGAGGAUAAAAAUGUCAUUUCAUUUAUCCUCUAUUAAAACUAAAAAGUGCUCUAACAUUAAAAAAUCAUAGGUGCAAAUAUGAAUAUUACCGAACUUUUGCAGAAAUAAAAUAUGAAAAGUUAAAUUUUAUAGUGAUAUAUUUGCUAUUCUAUAUAUUUUUCGGAAAAUGGAUAAUUGCCUAUAUACCCCUCAUAUGUUUGAAAAUAUCCGAUUUACCCCUACUUUUUUUUUCUUUCUAAAAUACCCCUCAUAUGUUCCACCGUUAUUGCAAAAUACCUCCGCAAUUAUCUCCUGUUAAGUUAACUUAGGUUAAACGUGAGUUAAACAUCUACCACAGUUAAAAAAAAUUAAAAUACCAAUUUUGCCCUUAACUUAAGGGUAAAUAAGAAAUAUUGGUGACGGUAGAGAGGUAUAUUGGAAAAGACCAAAAGUCAAAAUACUCUUUUGCCCCUGACUUUAAGGGCAAAUAAGAAAGUCAGUGAUGGUGGAAGGGUAUAUUUGAAAGGGCAAAAUAGUAAUUUUACAGAAUUAACAGAAUUAAUUAACAGAUUUUAACUCUAGGGGUAUAUUAGAAAUAGGUUGGAAUAUAAAGAGGAUAUUUUCAAUAUUAACUUUCUAAGAGGGGUAAAUCAAAAAGUCAGAAACUUUUCAGGAGUAUAUAAGCAAUUGCCCCCUUUAAAAAAUUAUAUAAAAUUUUUAAAUUCAUAAAAUUUAUUAUUCCAUUCAUCAGAAUUCAGAACAGAAGCUCCACGUGUCACUAGUGGUCCCGUGCAUUUUCAGGGCUCCAAACGAACGGACCUCGUGCUUCCACUUGGCCGCAUCCGAGUUGCCGCCUCCUCAUUGGCUCCUCUCGCGCACCACCCACGUGAAGUGCUCAAGUGCGUCACGUGCUCCGGGCAGGGCCCAUCGCACGUGCUCCCACCCUCUCUAACGCGUGAGAAAGAAAUCCAACAGUUCACAGAGAACAACUCUCUUCUUUUUUUUCUUUUUCUUUUUUUUUGGCUAAAUUACAGAAAACUCUCGUGUCAAAAUUUAAUUUUACAUUUUCUCUUUUUAUCAUUUAAAAAUUUAUAUUUUACCUCAUUAUAAAAUAAAAAAUAUUCACAGGACAGUAUGAUGUGAGCUGUGAUGAUAAAUGAUCAUUUUGCAUCUCACCAUUUUUCUCCUCAUCAUGUUCACAGGAGAGAAAGCUGAGAGCAUUUUUGAUAUAAAAAAAAAAUAUAAUAAUAUUCUAUAAACGAAACCCUAACGUAUUACUAACGGCCAAAGAGCGAAGUGUACAAUUUUCAUUUUACAAGGGGCAAAAUGUAGGUUUUUAAAUAGUAGGGGGGGAAAGUGAAAAAUCGAAUUUUGAUAGGAGGGUUUUAUAUAAUUUAGCAUUUUUUUGUGUUAAUUUUAUAUAGAUCCCUAUAAACAUAUCGAAUAGUAAAUAUAUCACAACAAAAUUUUAACUUUUCAUAUUCAUCUAUGCAAAAGUCCAGUGACAUUCAUAUUUGUUCCUCUGAUUUGUUACCAUUAGAGCACUGUUUAGUUUUUAACAAAAAAUAAAUGAAAUGAUAUUUUUAUUAUCAUAAAUAUAUCCCUCCAAAAGUCCCAACUGUUAGAACUGUACAGAAAUAUUCUCCCAAAAAAUUUUCAAUGAUCAUUUUAGGGAUAAAAAGUUCAAUUUACAUCGUUCACUACCAGGACUAAGUAUUUUACUUAUGGUUAACUAUAUUUUUCUAAUAUAUUCUAACUGCAGGAGUAUAUUUAAGAACGUUAGGAUUUUCGUAGGAAUAAAUAUGAAGAGUUGAAUUUUAUACUAGGUACCGUUUGGUUCGGGUAUAAGCAAGAACUAGCUAUUACAGGGAUAAGUACAAGUAUGGGGAUAAGAAAAUUAGUGUUUGGAUGAAAAUUGGGUUGUUCCCGGGAAUAAGAAUAAUUUUAGAUAGUUUUAUAUAGAAAAUGGAGGUGUUGGUGGGGAUAACUGAAAACUACUAUUCUCGGAUAAAAAAUUAGCGUUUGGGUAUAAAGGGGGGAUAAGAGCCUAUUCCUAUCCCUAUCCCCUAACCAAACGCUGCGCGCAAUUAAUCUUUUUUUUAUUCAAUAUAUUUACAGAAAACUGCACGCAAUAUCUGAUAUUCAAUAUAUUUACAGAAAACUGCACGCAAUUAACCUUUUUUUUUUAUUCAUCACGGCCUUCUAAUAAAGAUCAUCAUUGUCCAUUUUCUAUGGAAAUUGAAAUUACCUGAUACCAAAAAAAAAAAAAAAAAAAAAAAAAAANUCACAAGAAUUAGUAGGCUAGGAGACAAAUAAAGUAUGGGUGGAUUUCUAUUUUUAUUUUUAUUUUUCUCGAAGAACUUAUAAUAAUCCGCUACAGUGUAUAGCUUUUAGCUAUGGAAUUGUGAGGUGAUGGUUUUCGCUCUUUUCCCUUCACAUGCACACACAAAAAAAAAAAAAGAUAAUUUUUUCUGUAGUUCUAGAUCUUCAUGAGGGAAUUGGCCUUGAAUGGAGCUGAAAUGAAGAGAAUUUUGUCCCCGCGAGGACGAAAACGGGCGGAAAUUUUUCCCACUUGCGGGAACGGGGCGGGUCAGGAAUACUAAUCAGCGCCUUGCAAAAUUUCCAAUCCAAAUAAAAUACUAUAUUAUUAUAUAAUUAUUAAUUUAUUUAUGAUUAUAGAUAGCUGAUUUUGAUAUUUUUUUAAUAUAUUUUAAUAAUUAUUAAGUAUUUUAAACAUAUUUAACUUUUAGUAAAUUUUGAUUGCUAUACAUUUUUAGUAAAUUUGACGAGUCAUACUUAAUAUAAUUCGACACUGAAAACAUAUGAACUAUAAAUUUAAUAAUUGAAUAGCAUUUUUGGGGAGAGAAAACUAGCAUGAUACUCAUUUCAUUUUUUUUUAAAAAAAAAUAAACUAAGAUAGAAAUAUAAAAUAAUUAGACGCAUCAACUACCAAACUCUUUCUCAACUGCGCUAGAUACAGUUGGUAAUCUUCUUACAAUGUCUAGAAGUAAGUUCUUGUCCUCAUACAUAACUUGGACUCUCUAUAAAUGUUGAGAUAAGUUGCAGUUUUUUCUGAGCUCUCUCUCCCUCUCUCUCUAUCUCUCUCUCUCUAGAGCAUAUAUAGAUGAAUAUAUUAAUUCCUUCUAAUGAUGUUUCAUGGCCAAAAUGCUUUGAUAUAGCUGCAUUUGCACCUGCACCUGUAGAGGAAUUGAGCAAAAACAUUGAUGAAAAAAAAUUCUUCUUAAAGGUGCAGGGACAGAUGCAGCUGUAAUCCAUUUUGGAUUCUCCACUUCCCCCCACUUGUAACUUUUGUUCUCUUCAACAUAUUCAAGAGGUGAGUUGAUGUUGUUUUACCAGGAUUUAAUCUUUAAUCUUUAAUCUUUAAUCUUUAAAAAGGUUUUAAUUGUGAGUUGAAGAAAUAAGUUUUUUACUAUUUUGACAACUCUUUUCCAUUCUAAUUAGUAGGCUCUCUCUGAUCUUGACUGCAAAUGCUUGGAUUUUCCUUUUUCCUUUUUUUUUCUUUUUUUUUUUUUUUUUGAAUNCAACUAGCCCCUUUAUUGACCAGUUUUUCCAGUAAAAUUAACACAUUUCAUAGUUUUCUUUUUGUAAAUAUAGUUUCAUUUGAACUGUUUUUCCAUUGAAAUUAACACAUUUCAUAGUUUUCUUUUUGUAAAUAUAGUUUCAUUUAAGAGCUAUGCUGCUGUUGUGCAAAAUAUGUUAGAGCUGGCAAUUCAGCUUGUUGUUUGGGAGCCAGCUCGUAUUUGGCUCAACAUGAGUUCGGAAAAGAUCAUUUGUUUAAAUAAAUAAGCCGAAUAUGAACAGCUCGAAAUCUUAACGAGCCGAACAUAAACUAGAGUCAGCUCACUCGUAUUCAACUCGAUAUAUCUCGCGUAUGUGUGUGCGUAUAUAUAUAAAAGUUAGUACUUCCGACUUUUUGUCCUUGGAUCAAAAAUUGUAAGAUUGGGAUGAUAGUAGUCCACUUUAAGAUUGAGUAGUCAACCUAGGAUAAUAAUAUUAAUCUAAAGGUCAGAAAUGAUCAAAAGGAUUGAUCCAAGGCCAAAAAGUUGGAAGCACAAACUCUCAUAUACUUUCGAAAGCAUAGUAGCUCUACUCUCUCUCUCUCUCUCUCUCUCUCUCUAUAUAUAUAUAUAUAUAUAUUGUAAAUUAUCACUAUUUGGAUUUUAGGCCGGCUGGAAUAUAAAAAGAACUAUAUUUUAUAAGUUUUAAUAAUUAAGAUUUUAAUUUUUUUAAUUUUCUUUCAACUUUCUAGCUAGUAGUAGUGCUGACAAUUUAACUUAUGUUCACGUGCCAAUUUAUGUUCGGCUAGUUAAUAAGCCAAACACAAUCUGAAUUUAUGAGCUCGAUAUUUUAACGAGCUAACUCGUGUUCGGCUCGUUUAACAAACUAAAAAGUACAAGCCGGUCUCAGUUCACUCUGUGUUCGAAUCUCACUCAUGUUCGGCUCGAUGACAACCCUAAAAUACGUACAUUGUUUUGGAAAGUUGCAGGACAAAAGAUCUUUAUGUGUCAGUGCUACAAGGUACAGUUGAUAUCUAUUAGUAAAGGCACCAUAGUUUUGAAGCAUAAAAGAAAACAUGCUACAGUGUAUUAAUGCAGAAUAUAUGUACUACAAGAUGCUAUAAAUCAGAUCUUUUUGGUUUCUUUAUGAUUGAUGACAGAAUUAAUAUUUUUAUUUUUAAUAAACUUGAUUUUGUGAUCUAAUCGCAGCUUCAUUAAUCCAAACGACCACCCCUAAUUUGAAUGAGUUUGACAAAAUUAUGAGGAUCUGAAUCUCUUAUUUUCGUAGCGAUAUUAUAAUUAUGUCGGUCAUUUAGUAUAGAGUUUUCCUUUCCUUUUUUUUUUUUUUUUUUUUUUUCUUUUUAGGCUCCAAGGCCCGUAACACCCUACCCUACCCCAUCAAGGAAUGAUAUAAUCCUAGUAUUUCAAGACAAGAACCAAGCAAAUGUAAAAUUCAAUUAUUAAAAAAAAAAAAAGAGGGGAACCUUAUUUUAUUUUGUAUUAUUUGCUUCUAUUAUUGCUUACAAUUUUUUAGUAUAAAACACAAGGUGUAGUUUAUACCUUGACCCCCUCCCCUUUUCAUUUGCCUCCACUAUCCUUCUCCUGUAGAUUCAUUCCCUCCUCAUUUCAUGAGAAAAAAACCAGAAAAUAAAGAAAUGAUGUAUAACUUUCAGGUCAUGUUUGAAUGCACAGUAAAAAAAAAAUCAUAAAAUUUAUAGCCUGAGAUCUGAAGCUGAAUUCAGCUCUGAGCCCCAUGCAAGCUUUCAUUUGACUACUGCUGCAAACAUAAUCAACAGCACAGAAUACAGUUCCAAGUUAAAUUUUCGAUAUAGGCUCUACCGGAGCUCAAUCAACACAAUUAUAUGCAUAUAUACCUUGAAUUCUAAAUGUCCAGGCACAAAGUAACAUAAAUUCCGAUGCACGAUAUUUAAUUGAAACUCUUAACUGCAACUUAUAUAUCAUGAAGAAAAAAAAUAAUACACAAUUAAAUUACAGCAAUAUCAAUUUCCCAGACCGGCGAAUCACCGGAUUAACACACUUGAAAUUACUUUCAGGGGGCAUGAUAGGUCAAAAUGUGCCCUAUAUUCUUCAGACUAGCUACAAAGCUAGAAGAGUUCAAGCCCCUCAGCUUGUUUUCCCCAACUAAUCAACUAAUUACAUGCUCUUUACAGUAAAAUAACAAAGGAGAGGUUAGAGAAAGACCAGAACAAACAACCAAAAAGGGAAAAAAGAAAAAAAACCUAAGAAUCAGAGGCUAAUGUUCAUGCUUCACCCGCCCUUUGAGUAUUCCAGGAAUAGGAGGAGAAUUAAUCGGCGGCUUGGCCAUUGUAUCCGGCCCUGUGGGUUGCGGCAUGUGAUGCUGAUGUGUAUUUGGUGUGCUGGAGCAUUCGCCUCCGUUGGAACUCGGCUCACAGGAGCCCUCCUUUUGGCCCCUUUCGCAGAACCUCAUGGCUUUGAGCACAUAAGAGUCAUCGUGCAACUCGAAUGGAGUGCUGUUAUGGAAACAGACAUCAGAAGAUAUGCAUACAAAGGAACCUAAGCGGUGUUUGUGUUUUAAUAAUCUACAAUAUUUCGAUCAUAGAAAGCUCAGGUUCAAUCAUUACAUUAAUGUCUCUUUUAAAGUUAAAGGAAGAUAGCUAGUACAAGUUUAGCAUGUUCCUGAGUUUAUUAUAUGUUCUGCUUGUAAAGACCGUAAAGACCAUGCAGAUCACAGGACAACAGUAUUGACGCCGAAGAGAAAUAGGAAACUACAAUAGCUGAUGUAGGACAAAUGAGUAACAUAAUAAAAAGUGUCUCAAAAGUGAUAAUGUAGGUCACUUAGCUAGGCCAUCCACAAAAUUUUACGGCGAUACUGUGAGACAUGGUUAUCCCUGGUAGUGAUCUUGGUUUGCAUAUCCCUGCACUAAUUAUACAUAUGUGCAGAUAAAAGAUUCUCGAGUUAUUUUAUAUUAUUUAAUAUCCAAAUUUCCUAUAUCUAUGCAAGUAAUUAUUUGUCUGCAGGUUGACGAAUAGCUCCAUCUGUUAGGUAUAGCUCUGUACAGCAGCAAGAAUUCAAGUUAAAUGACCCCAAGAAUCAAGACUCUUAAUUCCCCAAGAGGCAGAAGAGAUGGGAAUAAAAAAGGGGGGGAAAAAUAAGCCUCUUAUUCAUGAAACAACCAUCGAAGACAGAUUUAACAAACAAGGACUUAAGCACUGUUGCACAGGGUUGUGCCGAAAACUUGCCGGUACAGCACAACAUCAUGCGUGCGGGCCGUGCCAAUGCGUGCCAGUCACAAAAAUUACAUACGUGCGGACACAUAAUGACAUAAAAUAUUUAUUUUCUUCAGCAACAAAAUAUUCUAAUUACUUAGCAUGUGUCAUUGUCAAAUCUUUUGAACUUUAUUGAGAAAAUUACUUACUAAUUUAAAGAAAGAGGGUUUUGAGUUAUGCUAUCAGCCCGGGGACUGUAUCGUGACGAUAUCUUGUUGGCAUGAUACAGCAUGAUAGAUAAGGCUUGCCCGAUGGGCACUUAAAUCCUUAUUAAUAAAUAUUAAUUGAGUACCCAAAGCCUUCUCGACGGUAGAAACCAAAGAAAAUAUUGAUCAUAUGAUAUCAGGAUGAAUAGAAAUAGAAAAUGAGAUGAUUCGUGGGCAUCAAAGCAUGAGUCAUGACAUAACAGAGUGUGCCAAGACGCAUCAUCUACAUCACCUGUUGAAGUCGAAAUGCACCAGCUGCAUAUCUUCUGAAAUUUCAACUUCCACAGUAGCAUGUGGGCGAGUCUUUUUUAACACAUACCAUAGAGAAUGACAUCAGUAUUAGCCAAAUGCCUUAUACAAGAGAAAGAUGAGAAAAAUUCUAACAUCAGUAGUUGCAUAUUUCCAUAUAUUAAUAAAAAGAAAUUCAUGUAUGUUACAGCCAAAUAGCUUCUAGGACAAAUGAUAUUUAAGUAAUUGGUAAUACCAUAUCCUAUCUAUAUAAAAUCUAAAUAGCAGGUAGUGGAAAAGAAGCUAUUUACUGGUCAUACUUAAUAAAUUUACCUUUUUAAGUCAAAUUAGUCUUGAGCGAAUUCACUUACGAAAAUUCACUAAUCAUUUAGCAUGCAGCAUUGGGGUGAGGGUUCUCAUAGUCAAGAUUCUUUCUCCUACUAAGGUGGUGGAAUGUAAAAUAUUCCAGUUUUCAGAAAAGAACUCAUAGAUAAGGUCUCAUUUGGUCACACUUGCGCUUUUUUUUUUCUUCAACUCAUAUUGUGAUGGUAUCAGCGGAAACAAGCCUAGGCCCUAGCCCAUAUGUAGUAGCAAGAACUCAACCAACAAGAACUCUCAUCUAAUUACUAGUACUUUCUUGAACACUACUGAAAUUGAAUAAUUUGCAGAGCUAUUGCCUUCUUUCUCCUGGACCUCAUAGAAAACACCUAUCAUAUGAUCCACAGGUUCUUUUCUGGAAAAAGCAACAUUUUUAAGACGCGCAUAAGAUCAUGGCAACAUCAGUGUGAGAGAAGACUACAUAGAGGCUAGUGUGAUGUACUCGAUUAAGGGAAAAUUUCAAUGAUAUCCCCUUGUUAGGUUAGAUAUGAUACUUCACCUGCAUUAAAUAUUGAAAAACGAUGGGUUCUCACAUUUUGUCCAAACAUUGUUCUCGAAAAUCCUUAAUCAUUCCCGAAAGAUCAAAAAAAGAAAGUCACAUGCUCGCUUGAACAUACAUUUUACACAAUCAUUCAUCAGCAGGAAAUAAGUGAUACAUAUAUAAUGUUCAUUUUUACAUGCAAAAGCACAACUGGCAAUUUAUUAUAUAGCAGCAAUCAACUAAAAGGAAGGUAUAACAACAAUGAUUAAGUACAGAGGACAAAUAUUUUUAGUUUAGAAGUCUAAAAAAAUUAUGUUCACACUUGGUUAAAAAAAAAAAAGAAAAAAAAAAAGAAAAAAAAAAAGAAGAGAGAAUUAUAAUAAGCUCAGAAUUAAGCUUAGAAGAAGAUCAGAUAGGUUUUAUUCAUCAAUAUUCAUUCAGGCUCAAUUGUCAUAAGGAACAAACAAGGAGAUAAGCAAUGCUUCAACAUAACCAUGAGAAAAGUUUGAAUUUGCAUUUUCACGACGGAAAGACCCAAAUUAGAAAAUAAAAGUCAAAGCACGGAUUGUAGCAAUUUAAAUCACAUCUAGGUGGCAAGCAAUCCAAGCUUGGUGUGAUACUAAAAUUGUAAAUAGUUUAAGCCUAAAAAAAAUAAAGAAAGGAUGACCUAUCUGAUACUCAUGUCAAAGCGAUUAUUAGUACCAACAGAAACAACAAUAAUAUCAAUCAAUACGGCACAACCAAAAUCAAUACAUGGCAAAAAAAAAAANGUUCGAAUGAAGACUUUCUUUUUCUACGGUUUGAGUUUGAGUGGAAAUUGCAGUUGGUUUUACCUUCACUUAGGAAAAAAAAAAAAAAAAAAACUUUCCUCGAUUGACAAUCACUGAGGCAUUGGAUUAUUUCAACAAAGGUUUAAAUGCAAACAAAGAUAAGUGUAAAAGAAAGUUGAUAAAGAAGUUCUAAAUCCAUUCUCUUCUCACUAUCUUUCUGAUAAUUCAAGGUUUUUGCCCCGAAUCCCUUCAAAUCAAGAACAACAUAUUCUCAAAACUAGAUAAUAAGACCCAGAAGUAAAGAACAGAUUGCAUAUUGCUAUAUAUAGAAGUUACAGAACAAUUUAGUAAACUAAAGGUCAACCCCUGCCUAAUCUUGCUUUCAGCCUACUUCAUAUGCAUAUCAUAGGUACAAGCAUGUUGAAAUUAUAAUUCUGUCACACAGAUAUAAAACUGUUUCAUUGCACACAGCUCAGAUACUAAUUAGGUCCUAAAGUUAAAUUGACCAAAAUACACAAGUAAUAUACAGAAUUUGGUUUAUAAACAACAGUUACAGUACCUGAACUAAGAUGAAAGGUAAAGCGACACCACCAGAAGGAAUAUUUCCUGAUCCAUAUAAAUGUUCAUUUCGCUGUACCAAGUUUUGCAGUCCUAUGAACUAAACGAAGGGGAAAAAUUAAAAAAAAAGUGAGCUUACUGGUCAUCCAAGCAAUCAGUUUCUUGUUGACCACAGCCAAGAUAGUAAGAUAUUACAUAAUUAAUGCCAGUCUAGACUUGUUGUUCCUCUUAUAACACAAUAUGUGCUUGUUGCAUUAGUAAACUCACUGAACUUAAUUGUAGAAUAAAGUUGUCAAAGAUGGCAGAUGAUAUAAGCACAUUUAAUAAUACUAUUUAAGAGCGCAUUCUCCACUACUUCCAAGGUCAAUAUAUUGAAAUAAAUAUCAUACUGUGAUCAUAAAUGACAAGUCAAAUAGGUGCAACUUUCCUUGAUUAGUGACUAUAGGAAGAGUUUGAACAAUCAGUGAGAUACUUAAAAAUGUAUAAGCUUCAUCAUUAUUCUUUAUGUUCUCUGGCCUACAAAAGCAAAACAUAAUCAGCAAAGCUUAGGCAUGCCAUGAUAUCAGUGUUUCAUACUACCAGGCAAUGACUUGAGCGAUACAAAAGAUGCAGACAACACUAGAAUGACAACAUAAUAAAUUUGGAAAACAAUAUAUGUCAGAGUAAGUUACUUUCAUCAUGACUAAGAACAAUAGUGCAAUCUUACUUGGUCUUGUAAUUCUUGCAAAUAUGCAGUUUUCUUCUCAAUCCUGUUUUUCAGUGCCAUGCGUUCUGCCUGUGAUAAUUAUGACUACAGAAGAUUAGAAUUAAUUCCAAUAACACUUGUUGCAUUUUCAUAUAUCAAACAAAAAAAUCACUUAAUAAAGUCUAGGCUUCUAGCAUAAAUAAUUCUCGCUAGAUACAAGCAUUUCACAUACUAAAAAGUAUAAUACUGAAAACCUUUAAUUCUUCAAUAUCAUUUAGACUAGUUCGAGGUAACCCCUUCCACUGUAUUUCUUUCUUAUCUUUCGAGAUAAUAUCCAUAGCCAUGAGAACAUUGAGGGCAUCAUACACCCUCCGACGUAUGUUCUUCUCAUCGUACUGUUGCUGCAUUUUUAAGAUAUCCAUGAAAUCAUGCUCACCAAAUGAAAUCAAUUACAGUAAAAACAAGGGAUGAUCAUCUAUUUGUACUGGAAUAGAAUACCUGGUCUGGGGAUGCCAAUUUACCAUUGGGAUCUGCAAACUCAGCUACAAGUUCAUCUGCAACCUGACAAAAUUUUUAAGAAAUUUAGACACGAAAGCUCAAAUGCAAUGAACUAGAGUGGCAACCAUAAGCACAACAGGAGUGUUUAAAGCAAGAAAUAACAUUUGACUUAACAGAAGGAAUAUGACAGAAAUAACAUGCGAAAAAUGAAGAAAGCUCAUAAUACUUGAUUACUACUAAUAGAAACUAGCAAUGUGGAACAGGUAGUUAUCAAGCUUCACACAGAAAUAGAUGCCAAAAUAAGAAAACACUAAACUUAAAUAACCAAUGAACAGAUUGAGAAGAGAAAAGCUGACCUCAUUGUAAGUAGUUCUCCCCUUGCUUUCCACUUUCUCACAAACUGAGCGUGAACAGAAAAGACAAAACAUGCACAUUGCAGAAGCAAAUAUUAUUAAUUUCUAAAAUGCAAUGCAAAUAGAAGGUAAAGUAACCGUAUACUGAUACCCCAUAUCUUCAGUACAUAAAGCUAUCCCAUGGCAGAAAGUUUUGCUAGUAGCAAUAUCAAAUUAGUGAGAAGAUAUGUAACAUCAACUCGGAUUGCCAUAAUAAACAUCUCCUAAGACAAGAAAGAGAACACCAUGCAACAAACCAGCAUACGAAGAAGAAUUUUCUAUUUACCUUUCAUACUAAACUGGCGGAGCCCUCUACCACUUUUAUCACCUGCGGUCACCCUAGCUCCGCGUUUUUUCUUCUUCCCACUGAUCAAGCACAUUACUAUAAACAUAUCAUGGACAAAAUAAAGGCGUACAAUAAACCAAAAUGUAUAUACAUUCUUCUGUUAUUCAACUAUCUCCAACAAGCCCAGUGUUACAGGUCCAGUAAAUAAUGAACCAGAAGAAACCAGUGGUCAUCAGUGGGACAUUUCUCUAAAAAGUAGAUAUUGAUAUCAAAAUAGUAUGUUUGGCAGCAUGGAAAUAGCAUUAUUUGGUUAUAAAGGUCAAAAUAUAGGUUCUCUCUUUCCUUGCACAGAAUAUGGCAUAAAAUAACUAUAAAUGCUUCUCGAAACACUAGUGGGCAAGUGAUUAUUAAUUGAUCAAACUCACCAAGAGCAAAACAAAUCCAGCCAAAGCCAGAGAUCCAAGAAAAGAAACUGCCAAAGGUUGCUCAUUGCACCUAGAAUUUUCAUUCACAAUUUACACUACCAGUGGAAAGAGCAACAUCUACACUAGCAUUUCUCUGUCCUUAAUCCUCAAAACAACCAUUAUUUGCAGAACAUGGAAAAGGAGAGAAUUCAUAUGUAGAUCUUGAUGUAUUACCUAUCCUGCUUUAACAACGCGACAAAGAAGGCAACCUAACUCAAAACGCAAAACGACUAGCAACUCCAUUUUCACGGAGGAAAAAAAGACAGAAAUAGUAUGAGGAAAUGAACUUGGGUCAAGGGGCCAAAGAGAUAUAACUGCCAACAAAUCAUCACACAAAAUGCAAUCAACGAUUUCGUUACCUCAAAAUCUGAUAGAGUAGAAAAUGAACAUAUAUCACUACUCACCUAAUCAAACACUCCCAAUCAUACUCAACCCUAAAAGCCAUACCAUAUUUGACAAAACCAAUCAUUACCUUCAACAAAUCAUUGCACAAAAUCUUUAGCAUCUAAAAACCCCCUUGCUUUUACUUGUAUUGCCUUCUUUUCCUCACCAAUUUUUUUCUGGCUUGGACUUCUAGCAUAGAAACAUCUGACGAAUAUAAUAAAAGGGGCCAUAUCUGCCCACAAAAGAGAGCUGAUUAGCUCAUACUUCCCACCAUAUCCCUCUUCAUUACUACAACAUCAAGCCCCAACAUAUAUGCGAACCCAAUAAGAUAAGUUCAAGGGGACAAAAUCAGCUGUUUUUUUAUACUUAAAGACACUCUAAAUCAAACCUGGCGAUUUCUUCUUAUCUUGGAUCCUAAAAUAAAGAUUAUACAGCAUGCAAACUCUUCACCAAUUAUACAAUAAAAACCCAGCAUUCCAUCAUUUAAGCACAAUUCAUCACAUCAGCAAUAUAAAGCACCAUAUAACAACACCGCAAUCCAGAAAAAAAAAAAUUAAAAAAAAAUCACUUUUACCCUAACCCAAGUUACGCGCACUUGAACACAAAUCAACAACCCAACUUUUAGAGGGGGAAAAAAGAAGUUGAGGACGAACCUAACUGCCGCCUGCGACGAGGGCGCGUCAUCGCCAUGGAUGUCGAGGUUGUUGAGCCUCACGAAGGUGUUCUCGCUCGCGGGGGUCCCGGUCCCCGUCCCCGUCCCCGUCCCCGCACCGACCACCUCUGCUGCUCCUGAUAUCGCCGGAAGUGGAAGCGGAAGCGGAAUUGGGAUCGGUCAGCAGGCUUCCCUGCGGAGCUCGGUGCCGGGCUAUUUCGGCAGACUGAGCAGCACAAUGUCUUCCUACAGCAAUCCCACGGGCAGUGGGCUGCCUGCUGCUGCAGUGUUAGGCCGCAACCUUCCCUCAUCGCAGCCUUCGGCCAUGGCUGGUGCCACUCCGGGCCUUUCGUCCGUGCCCGGUCAGGUUCCUGCAUUGCUGGGCGGUGCCGGCCCUGGAGGUUAUCGUGGAGGCUUGGAUGGUGCUUAUGGGUCUUCUCAGUUUGGUGCUCCUGGUCUAGGUGGGUUCGGAGGCCUUGGAAUGGGCACAGGAUCUUCGCUGUAUCGCGUGCCUCCGACCUCAAUUGGGGUGCCUUCCGGGGGUUAUUCGGAAAGCGCGCACUAUUCUCUGUCUUCGUCGGCGUACCCAAGCCAGCAUCUCCAGAAAAUUGGUUCAUCUCCUGGGCCCGGGGCUGUGGUUCCAAGUGCGGCAGGACUUUACCCGACCUUGCCGCCGUAUUUCUGAGGUACUUCGCUUCAUACAUCAUAUUUUUUUUCCUCUUCUGACAUAUUGCUGAUCAGUUCUUUGUUUUUUAUGUUGUUGUAGCUCACAAAGUUAGUAAGUUGCUUAGUGAAGUGUUAUGUGCCAUGAUUCUUCCAAAGCAGAACUAACGCGCCUGUACUAACUUGUCAAAGUGGCCCUUAAGUACAUAACUUGCAUUGCCAAAACCCUAAUUACUAUUUUCACUGUUUAGUUGUUAUAUGCUGAGGCACAUCCUAAUUUAGUCAGUGGGGAGCUAUCGGUUGUGACAAACCCAUUGUGUUAGCCUUGAGAUGUUCACUAAUGUGUAAGCAUCCUCCCAGUAUACAUCCAUCUAAGAUGCCAAACAUAUGAUAUCCGGCAAUGUCAUUGCCACCGACUUUGACGACAUAUUUUGUCUGACAGACCAAAGAAAACUCCUGCGAUAUAUCUAACCAAGUGGCUUGCUUAAAUACUACCGCUGGAGGCGGCUCUUGGGCCAUAUGGAAAGGCCCAAGUAAUUUACUAAUAGCAGUUUGGAAUUACAUUUAAUCAACAUGGCAUGAGAUUCUUAAGACUAAGUUAUUAUUAGAUUUCUAUACCUUGCAACCCAACCCCAUUCCCGUGUCCUGUCGUCCUCCGACUGGGUCUACUGGGUCAGUUCUGACUUUGUUGUAAGUGCUGCUUUGGGCCUUGUUCUGAUUGCUGUGGAUGUUAAAUUCUCUUGAAAUGUCUUAUGCUGAAAAUCAUGCAACCAUGUUGUAACUAUCAUGGUUGUUCUUCUUAUCCAUUGUUUCUAAUUUGUAUGUGUGUGUUUUAGUGAUGAGUUUGAAUGUGCAAUUUAUUUUUGGUUGAUCUUAGAAUUGAAGCUUCGUUGAAUUUACCACUUUGAGUUUAAGAAUGUCUGUUUUUUUAGGAACAAAUAAUGAUGUUUACUGAUGCUCAAAUACUGUUAGUUAGGCAUUGUGAUUCUUUUAGGCUACAUGGUUAUGGGGACAAUAGGGGAUCUCCUUCAUCCUGCCAAUGAAAAUUGAUAGUGGUUGUUAUUUUGUUCAAGUUGAGUUACUUUGUAUGUCUGCCGGGGAUUGUCUUUUUUCAUUUUUUAAGAUGUUAGCAUAGCUCCUUUGUAAUGUGGUAAAGAAGUGAUGACUUUUGUGGUUGGUUGUGUUUGUUGCCUCCUGUUGCAUGUGUGNUUCAAAAUCAAUAAUUUUUAACGGCUGAAAAUAAAAAUUCUAUAAAAAGUGGUGAUAUAGCACUAAAAUUUUCGAUCAGAAAUAUUGAUCUUGUUAUAGAUAGUAUAAAGAAUUUUGUAUCAAAAUUUAAUCUGAUUUGAAUACUUCUACACCGUUAAACUUGAAAAUGGCAGAUAUCAACCAUUAAAAAUUAUUGAUUUUGAAUCCUUUCGAUCACUAGAUAAGUGAUAUCAAAAAAUCGCAAAAAUUAUUUUCUAUAAACUUCAAAUUCCCUAGAUCAAGUGUAACGGAGCCAAUCGUCGAUUCGAAAAUUUCAUAGCUAUGGUGCUCGUAAAAACACCAAGCACUUGGUGCUAGUAAUUUUUUUAUCGUUAGAUCUACGCCGUUGAUCAUUUUUAACCGUUAGAUUAUACACUUUAACCAACCAACCACCCACUCAAUCCUAGAGAGCCCACAUCAUCCUAACCGCAUAUUCCUUAAUCCAAUAGCUAAAAAUCUACAAGUAUCAAUAACUUGGUACUUUUAAAAGCAUAAGAGCUCAAUUAUAUAUAUAUAUAUAUAUAUAUAGUUGAGCUAGAAUACUAUCGAUAGUAAACGGGCUUCGAUACCACCCAUUUGUUUUCGAUGAUAGAGCCUCCAAAUCGACGAUCAGCACCGUUCAACAUGAUCUAUACCACUUGAAGUGUUUAGAAAGUAUUUCAAAUCUUUUCGACAUCAUUUGCCUAAUGAUCAAAGGGUUUCAAAAUAUGUAAUUUUAAUGGUCGAUAUGAGGCGUUUUCUAGUUUAACGGCGUAAAGAUAUCCAAAUCAAUUGAAAUUUUGUUAGAAAAUUUUUUAAACUAUUUAAAAUAAGAUCUAUACUCUUGAUCUUGAUUACAAGAUUCCUAUCAUCAUUUUUUAAAGAAUAUUUAUUUUCAGCCGUUCAUUUUUGUGUCUAUUCGAUGGAUAAGAAAACAAUAUCGAAAAUGUAUGAAAUUUAAUUUCUAAACACUUCAAGUGGUAUAGAUUACAUUUAACGGUGCCGAUCGUCAAUUUGAAGGCUCCAUCAUUGAAAAUAAAUGGGUGGCAACGAAAUCCGUUUACUAUCGAUAGUAUUCUAGCUCAACUAUAUAUAUAUAUAUAUAUAUAUAUAUAUAUAUAUAUAUGUAUGUAUGUAUGUAUGUAUGUAUGUAUGUAUGUAUGUAUACAUACAUACAUAUAAACUUUUUCUUUUUUUCUCUUUACAACCUGAUGGUCUAUCUUUUUUUUAAAGGUCUUAUACUUGUUAUUUGUUUUUUUCAAUAAACAAUUUGUCUUAUUAUUCUUUGACUGUGUAAUACCUUACACAAUGGAUUGAUGUUUAGAAUUGGUAUUCUAAACAAACUAAAAACAUAUACAAUUUUCUUUGCAAAAAAAAAAAAUCAUAUAUAAAAGCAUUAAGAUUAGCACCUCACACAAAAAAAAAUCUUGAAUAAUUAUUGCAAAAAUAUUUGUAAAUUACUUCACAAUAUUUGGCAAAUCAGCGCAAGAGUUGAUACAUGUUCCGGCUCAACAACUUGCAACUGCAGCAAAUUCAAACAGAUUUAUUCUACCUUCUAUUAUUAAAAAUAUUAUUGGUCAAACUUUUGUUUUUCAAGUUGCCCUUGACACUCGCAAAUUGAAUUCAAGUAUGCAAUCACUCAGAGUCAUAAAGAUUUUUCAAAAUGUUUUGCCUGCAAAGAUCAAGAUUGAGAAGGAAAAUGAAGAUGCUGUCGAUAUUAAGAAAGACGGUAUACCUGCAACCCCUAAGGAAUCACAAAAUUAUAUAGUGGACAAAACAUCUGCCAGUGACGUGACACAAACAAAGUAAGAGUACUUAUCUAUAUUUACAUAGUACCUUAAUUGUGUUUAUUGUAAAACCUAUAUUUAGUUUUUUUUUUUUUUGUAUGUAUAACUCUCAAAUUUAAAACCUAUAUUUACUCUUUUUUUUGUAUGUAUAAUUCUCAAAUUUAUGGUGAUAAGGAGUGCUCAAUUAAGGAUGGAUGACCCUGUUAAACAGUCAAGAGGCAAGAAAAAGAAACUCAGGUAUCGGAGAAUACUUAUACAAUUUAUACAAUACAUAUAAUUUGGUACCAAUGUUAUACUAAUUUUAUUUUUAUAUUUGUACUUUUUGAAUU